CUCCACUCUAUCUCUCUCAAUCUAGUAGAAACUAGAAGAUCUAUUUCUACUUUACAUUGGUUGCUAAGCCUAAAAAGAAAUAUUAUUUAGAGAAGAGGUUUUCCUUCGAGGGCACUCCUCAAUCUCUAUGAUAAUUUCUUGUCUCCUCCAGGGGCCAGAGGGGGUCUCCUUAUAUAGUCCUCCCCUUCUAUGCGUUUUUGGGUCGAUAGGCGAGGUGGUACUAUGUUAUUCUGGAUCCAAUAGGUCGGUGGAACGUCGUGUGCGAAGAGAGUCCGGAACGGGGUCCAGAGGUGGGCGGGCGCCCAGGUCCUUAGGGCGGGCGCCCUGGGCCUGGCCCCUUUCGGGCUCCGCUUCCUUCCCGUGGCUUCUGAAGUCUUCUAGAUGGUAGAAAAUUGCGAGGUGGGUUGAUAUCUCUAUGUAAUCCCGACAUGUGGGCCUUUCUUCCUUAUUUCCUGAUAACCCCCUGCAGAAAUAGACAAACACCAAAACUCGUGGAAUUCUGUCAGAUAAAACCCUAAGUCUAGAUGUUGAUUUCAUUUGGAUCCUUUUCUUUGUUUAUUUGAUAAUUAAAUUUGAUACUUAAGGACCGUCAACAAACUCCCCCAAGCUAACCUCUUGCUCGUCCCUGAGCAAGGAUGAACUCAAGAGUUUCUGCAGUGGUUUCAUUUCUUAGAAGUACACACGCAUUUAAGCAAGAUCUCAUCUCUGAGUUAGAAUAAACUGUUAAGACUUAAAACUUACUUACUUUACCUACACCAUAGGACUUGUAACCGUCACUUCUGUCUUGAGUGGUUAAAAGAUAGAACAGUCUAGCCAAGUGCCAUGUCUCUUAUUCUUGAUCAGCUAUAGCUCUGUGGUUUUUGCAGAUUUUCAAAUAAAACUUAGAAAUUUCUUGUAUGAUUCUCUCAGGUCUCUCUUUUGUGGUAUUUUUGGAUCCUUACCAAGGCAGUGAUGGUAUAUGCCUUCUCUCAAGAUAUGUAGUAUUUGUGGUAUGAAGCAUAGUGACAUUGUCUUCUCUCUCACCCUACUCUAAUAAGGCUUUAAUAUCUGGAGCUCAUAGGUGGGAGAUAAAGUAUACAUACUUACAAGAUAUUUAUUGCAUAGUCAAACCAUGGAUCCAAAGAAACAAAUCAAUAAGCCAAAUCAAGAUGUGCAUGUGUGGCGAAUGAAUGGUGUAUGGUGAUGAUGGUGAUAACAAUGGUGAAAGUCUAAUUCUACUUUUGCUCUUUUGAGGGGAUACAUACCUUUCUUGCACUUUGAAGCUUUUUGAGGAUAAUGAGAUGCUCUAUAUUUUCUUUUUCUUUCCUCUCAGGUGGGUAUCUUGUACCCCUAAUUCUACUGUCGGACACUUGUCCAUUUUUACCUUUCGUCUCACUUUUUUUCUUUUUCUUCGAGGUUCCGGGCACUUGCCCCUUUUUAUUUCCUCGUAUUCAUUUUUUUUUCUCUCUCUCUUUUUUUUAGAGCACUCAUCUCCUGAAAUAAUGUAGCAAGUGGUAGUAACCAAAAUAACUGGAGCAUUUAUUUCACAGGGAAUAAUAGGGAUAGGAAAAUGUUUUUGGCUAUUCUCUCCCGGAUUAGGAGUAGAAUACUUUUGGGUGGUUUUGGAGAUGGAAAUGAAUGGAUAGUACUUCCGGAGUAGAAGUAGCAUGUAUGAGUGAACGUGCAAGUGAAUCUUGAUUUAAACACAUGACAAGCUCCUAAGGGUCUACACAGCUUGACCACACUCAAUGCUCAUAAGCAGUAAAAAGUAAAUAUGUGGCUCAAGGUCUAGCAAGCAUGUAUAUAUGGAUGUGGUAGGAAUUUAAACUCUCAUCAUAGAGGAACUCAUCAUGCAACAUUUUAAAGAUUUUCAAAGAUAAAAUUCUCUAGAAUUCUAGCAUCUCUAGGAACAGAUAAACAACAGCUCAACCUUCCCAUAUCGUAUCCGUUAACAACUUGGACUUCAGAUCAAGUUUUCAUCCCACAAGUUUAGGUCUAGAGCAAGCCUUAAAUUAUAACAGUUAUAUCUAAACUUGAGAGAGAACUUCAAAUUUGCAAAUUAGGCAGAGCAACUAUUCAUCAUAUCCGUGCUUAAGUUUUAUUAGAUACAGAUUAGCAUAGCCACUUUAUUUAUUUAUUAAACACACUAAGCAAAAUAUAUAUAAGCAUAAAAUCUUUAUUUGGUUUUUCAUAGUUAUGUGUAUUUAUAUUCUAAUAUAGUAUAAGUAUAAAGAUAGAUAGAAAUACUUAUCGAGAUAAAUGGGGGUGCUCUCCCCCAAGCUGAAUUUUGACGUAAUUUCUCUUGAUGUAGCUAGCAGGUGGCAGAGGUGUGUUUGAAAGUCAGCAGUAUUUUGACAGCGAUUAGAGUGUCCUCCGUCUGCUAGUCUUCUUGAUUCUUAAAUUCUGUGGAGCUCAAAUAGACAACAAAGCUUGUGGAACUGAUUAAGUGUUAUCAUAAAUAUCUAGCCUUUAUCAUGUUGAGACUCCUUAAUAAAUAUUACUCCCUGUUUUUAUAUUUUUGUUUUUAUAAAGCAGAAAAAUAUUUAUUUUAUUUUUAUGCCACCACAGUGAAUGUACUUAUAGGUUUUAUGCCACUCGUCUGCUCACAUGGGGCUUAGAGUUUUUUUCACAUUUUUAUUUUCUUUCUAGGAUAAUACGAACAUGAUUAACUAAGUAAACUAUUUGAAAUAAUUAAAAGGGAAAGGAUAACUACCAAGUUUACCUCUUGGCAAGGCGUUCGGUGUUUUUAAGUCCUCCGAACGGGACUCUCCGUUUUCUCAGUCGUCCUAGGAUUCGCUGGAUGACGUAGUCGGUGAUUCCGGUGGCGCCUCCUUUUCGUGUAUAACUAUCUUCUCUUUCUGACUCGGUGCUACGGUCUCCUCAGGACAUUUCUAUUCAAGCUGUAUGUCUUCAGACCUUAUCAUUUCUCCUUCGUAGUCUACCCAUCCGUCCUUGAUGAUUUGCCUCCUCUGGUUGCGGUUGCGUUGUCUUCUUCUUGUCCUGACCUGCUUAGAAUCUUCAACUAUAUAAUCAUUAAAGUAGUGGCGUACCUUUCUCAGAGGGGAAGUGCAUGUGGACUUCUCCGGUUCCAAUAUAGAUAAUGGCUUUGAUAGUGUUUAGGAACGGUCUUCCAAGGAUGGUGGAUGGAUCAUACUUGUCUUCUCCCAUGUCAAUGACCUGAAAGUUGUUUGAAGCUGAAUGUAUCUUGGUUGUAGGGGCAUGGUUCUAUGCAGGAGCUGAUAAGUGACUGCGGCCAUUAUGUUGUCGUCAGAUCCGGUGUCGUAGAGUGUCUUCUAAAAAGAGUAUCCAUUGUUUGUGCAUUCGAUUCUUGGAACACCAGGGUCGUUCUUCUUAAUCAAGAAAGGUGACUUGAGUCGACGAUCUUGACCUCCUUGAGCUGCAGUGACCAUCUUAGCUGACUCGGUCCACAUUUUCUUGUUCCUUUUCCUCCUGUUGGUCGUCUUCCUUGGUUCAUGUCGGGAUUGCUCUGAAGCUUGUGUAGUCUUGUUCUUGAAGGACACUCUCCUUCUUCCCCUUGAUGUAGAGACUGAUCUUGGCAGCAUUAGCGUAGAUGACUGCUCUGGUGUUUAGGAAUGGCCUCCCUAAGAUGAUGGGUGCUCUCUCCUCACUACCAGUCUCUAUCACCACGAAGUUUGCUGGAGUGUACAAGGUACCAACUCGGACACAGAGGUUCUUCAAUAUUCCUUUGGGAAACUAAGUGUCUGAUCUCCAUUGUGUUUGUGCUCGUAGAUCCCGGUUCUUCAAUUGAUGGAAUCUGGGAGUUGUAAAACGCCUUCACGUUUCUCAAAAUGUGUCCUGCUCAUAGAGACAAGGCAGAGAUCAAGUGCAUGGGCCCUGUUGGUGGAAAAUACCAACAGAACCAAAAGUGUAUUUGUUCUUCUCUAACCUUAAGCAUAGUGAGCAAGACAAAGUUGAUGGAUCAUGAGUGUAGCAUUUAAAACAUUUGUUAGAUCAGAUGGCUCAACCUAAUGGAAAGAUAAUCUAUCUAUAUUUAUGUUUUGUUUAUAUCUUCCAAAGAUUGAAUGUGCAAUACUUUAGCUUAUAUGAUUAGGAGUGUGGGAUCACGAAGGUAGUACUAAGAACAAAGAUUAAAGGACUAAACAUGUUGAAUUAAUUGGGUUGAUUAAUUUGGAGCUACAAAUCAUACAUGUUUGUCUCUUUAUUUUAUGUGAACGCUAGAACCAAGGAGAAGCUUAUAAAAGUGAUAGUCAAGUACCUUAAAAUGUUACCUUACUUGAAGAGUGACGGUAGAGUAUCACCUUGUGGAAGCUUUCCUUUCUUAGCGGUUGUGCAUCGUGUUUGUGGCACCCUCCAUAGAUCAUCUCUUUAUGAUGAAUGAGCUAUGUCCUUCUUGUGCAAAUUGUUAAACUUCAUGUGUCUCCUUUAUCUCCAAUGAGUUUGUAUCUCAGGAUUUCCCAGGUUGAUAUUGAAAGUUUUCCUGCAAGGGUUAGUCCAACAAAAUAUCCCAUAUCUACUAUAGCAUACUAUCGGCUCAAAAAUCAACCUAGACACCAUGUCUAAUUUGAUUUAGGAGGGCAUUUUAACCUAAGCACCAUGCUUAAUUUAAAAAUCCUUUGGAAGUAAGAUCAUCAUUCCUAAACUAAGCACCAUGCUUGAUUUAAGAGAUAAAUGAAACUACUCCAAACCUAGACAUAUACUAAAGCAAAUAAAGGUAGCAUGAGAGCACUUAUAGAGAUCUACUCAAGUGGAGGUGAAGUAGUGUAAUUAGUAUUUAACAAAUUGAGCAUGUCUCAAAGGUAAGGACAACCAACAUAGCAACAUGGCAAAUGAUGUUUUUAUGUAAAGUACUCCCCCAAGCUUGAAUUUUGCAAAAUUCAAGAUUGGAUGAAUUUAAUUCAAUGUUGCAUGAUGAUUGGUUGGACAUACCUUGUGCUUGUCAUUCAUCCGAUAUUCUUGCUCCAAUCCUGGAAAGGUUAGUGACAAGAAUACCCGAAGGAAUAUUUCUACAAUUAUCUCAAUAUGCUCAAUACACAAGGCAAUGUUGCAAAUAAUUAGAAGUUCAUGUUACGAUAUGAUAAGUGCUUGUUUAAGGACGCUAAGCUUAUCCUUGGGAAACCAUCAAGUUAUGUUGGUGAAAUGGUUUCCCCUCCAACACCAACCUAUAUCAAGAUCAACUCAACUAGAUCUGCAAUAUUUAUUAUAGACAUAUGCAUCGACAACCGCUCUUUUAAAGUUGUUCUAAAUAGAAAGGAAGAGAGGGUUGGAGAUCUCAAAUGUGGUAAGGAUGGAGAGACCAAUUGAUUGGGGAGAUGUUUUAUAUGAGCAAGGACUUCGUAAGGUAUUUAUGAAAUAACUUCCAUGCUCACUGUUGUUUCUCUCAUUCUCAAACUCCAAGGAUGAUUCUUCAUGAAUGCUUAAAAUUCCUCUAGGAUUGUCUCUCAAGUUUGUUUUAUCUAUCCAUUCAAUGGUGAUAGCACAUGGAUUUUUAAUGCCCUCUAGCCAUUGAUGUUGCUCUUCUCGAUCCUCCUUCUUAUGCAUGGGAUGUUUAGAGAGAUUGAUAUGAUUAUCGGGAGGUUUAAGAGAAAGAGCAUAGUAGAAUUUAUUAAGCUCAAGGAAGGUGUGGAUAGCCGAAUUAUGGGUUUGAAAUGUUUGGAAAUCGGCUAUUGAAACUUCCUUUCCUCGUCUGGGAGAUGAUUCCUUCUCUAUCUCUAAGAUUUUUCUAUGAAUACUAGUACAAGAAGGAUGCCCACGAAUGAAGACAUACCUUCCUUUACUAAUAGAUAAAGAAAGAAGGACUCUACUAAAGGUUAUAUGAUUAAGACCAAUGUGAAAAUAUCGAGAAAAAACAUGGUCUUGUAGGGCUAGGUCUAAACCAAAAUUUAUAGAAAGAUUAAAAGAUUCCCUAGGUGUAGCUAAAAGUGCAUUAUCUUCUUGAUUAAAAGAUAGGACCUCGGCUAUAGAAAAGGGUUGGUUUUGACCUAUUGCAAUCAACUCCGGACACAGAUCAUAAUUAGGGGUAGGACGUGUUGACUCCCAUGGUCUAUGGCUGGUCUCCGAGGGUGCAAAGAAUUUAAUAAUAGGUAUGGAAUUUGAGUUAUCCAUAAAGAUAAAAAUAAAAAGAUAAAAGAAUAAAAGUAUAAAAGUAUAAUACAAGAUAAUAGCAAGACUCAAAGUUAUCUCAGCAAACCGUCUUUCUCCCCGGCAACGGCGCCAGAAAUGCUUGUUGAUAUUUGGUAACGCAAUUAGAAAAUGAUCCGCAAGCGCACGGAUAUCGGUGAGCAUUUCACCCGGGAGGUUAUCCAGAGUUAUCGUAUUUAUAUUUUUACCACUGGGAGAAAGGGUGCAUCUGACUAACCAAAUCUAUUGCUACUAUCCCUUUAGGCUACAAAGAAUGUCUCUCGAUGUGAGUGAUGUAUAGAGAAGACUGCAACCGUAGUCUCGUUCUAACCUUGGUUAGGAUGAUCUACUGUUCUAUUGGGGAGGCUCACGGAAUCUAGACAACACAAAGGAUGUUCAACCCGCACCUAUAAACCUACCCAUCCUGCUAACGAGAUGUGAUCUACAAAGGUAACUCGGAAAUGUCACGUUCCUCGCUACUACCACGGUCCAGCUAGUCAGGGGAUAUCUAUGAGUACCCUAGCCUAAACACCACAUUUACGCUAACAAGUGAUUACUCUAAUACUCAACCGAAAGAGGAUUAAAGUAAACUCAUAAACCAAAGAACAAUAAAACAAGAACUUACUAGUAUUAGAAGUCGAAUUACUGAAGAAUCUUAGAAGCAAGCCUCGGGUUAGGAGACUUGAUCCCGUAGGUACAACUCGGAGUAGACACCGACAGGCCGGCCUUCCUCCGAUCCACACCUCCACUCUAUCUCUCUCAAUCUAGUAGAAACUAGAAGAUCUAUUUCUACUUUACAUUGGUUGCUAAGCCUAAAAAGAAAUAUUAUUUAGAGAAGAGGUUUUCCUUCGAGGGCACCCCUCAAUCUCUAUGAUAAUUUCUUGUCUCCUCCAGGGGCCAGAGGGGGUCUCCUUAUAUAGUCCUCCCCUUCUAUGUGUUUUUGGGUCGAUAGGCGAGGUGGUACUAUGUUAUUCUGGAUCCAAUAGGUCGGUGGAACGUCGUGUGCGAAGAGAGUCCGGAACGGGGUCCAGAGGUGGGCGGGCGCCCAGGUCCUUAGGGCGGGCGCCCUGGGCCUGGCCCCUUUCGGGCUCCGCUUCCUUCCCGUGGCUUCUGGAGUCUUCUAGAUGGUAAAAAAUUGCGCGGUGGGUUGAUAUCUCUAUGUAAUCCCGACAUGUGGGCCUUUCUUCCGUAUUUCCUAAUAACCCCCUGCAGAAAUAGACAAACACCAAAACUCGUGGAAUUCUGUCAGAUAAAACCCUAAGUCUAGAUGUUGAUUUCAUUUGGAUCCUUUUCUUUGUUUAUUUGAUAAUUAAAUUUGAUACUUAAGGACCGUCAACAAUGCUGAGGAGGACAAGGGUCUCGAGGUAGAUGAUGUUCAGGCUACUGCCGCCAUCCAUCAACACCUUCGAGAGUCUGGCGUUGACGAUGAUGGGGUCGACGACGAGUGGGUAGAUGCUAGGAGCGACUACCUUGUCGGGAUGGUCGCCUUGAUUGAAGGUGAUAGGGGUGUUCGACCAGUUGAGGUACUGGGGCACCGCCAUCCUUGCCGCAAAGACCUCACAGCGCUCCCUCUUGCGCUGCCUUGCAGUUAUCUGCGUCGAGGGUCCACCGUAAAUCAUGUAGCAGUCGUGGACGGCUGGGAAACCCUAGUCUUCUUUGUCGUCCCCCUUGUCGCCGCUUCUUUCUUUCUUUUGGUCGUCCUUCUUAAACCCCAAGUCGUCGAAGUGUCUUUUCAGCAUGCAGCAGUCUUCAAGCCUGUGGUUUGCCCCUCCCUUAUGGUAAGGGUAGGGUUCCUUUAGCAUCUUGUCAAAGAUAGCCCCCUCAGGGGACCCUCGAGGUCUUUUAUGAUCCAUGGCAGCGACGAGAUCGUCGUCGAGGGCCUCCCGUUGGAACGACCGUGCUUUCUUCUUCUUGUUGUUCUUCUUGGGUCCUCGACUGGGGCCCUCAUCAUCAUCGGCUGGCGACUUGCCUUUGCCUCCUUCGCAGCUGAAGAAAGCGCCAACCGCUUCCUCCCCUGCUGCGUAGUUUGCCACUAUGUCCAUUAGCUCGUCGACGGUCUGAGGGCGAUUCCAGCCCAAUUCCCGCACCAAAUCUCGGCUAGUGGUGCCCGAGACAAAGGCUAGGAUGACAUCAUGGUCUGGGAUGUGCGGCAGCUCGGUGCGCUGCUUCGAGAAGCGUCGAGCGUACUCUCAGAGAGUUUCUCCAGAUUUUUGCAUGCACUUGCUGAGGUCCCAUGAGUUGCCGGGCCGUAUGUAGGUCCCCUUGAAGUUACCCUCGAAUACUCUGACCAAAUCGACCCAAACGUGGAUCUGGUUGGCCGGGAGCUCUUCGAGCCAUCUGCGGGCGGUGUCGGAGAGGAAAAGUGGCAACUAUCGGAUGAUGGCUAGAUCAUCCCCUCGGGCGCCUCGCACUUGACAGGCUAGCUGGAAGUCCGCUAGCCACAGUUCAGGCUUGGUUUCACCGUUGUAUUUAGCAAUGCUAGUCGGGAGUCGAAACGGGCUAGGCAGCGGCAUGCUGUGGAUUGCUCUGCUGAACACGCGAGGGCCCGGCGGUUCCAGGGCCAUUCGGUCCUCGUCGCUGUCGUAUCGCCCGCCGCGGUGGGCACUAUAACCGCGCUCCUCUACAUCCCCAUGUCGACGGUGUCAAUACUUGUUGAUGUCGUGUCAUGCGUCGUGUCGCCGUUGAUUAUCGACGGGGUGGUUUUGGACAGGCGCUUUCCUCUUUCCUCGAGGGGGUGGUUGCUGAUGGACCGACACCUCCUUCUCGUUUCGGGCCGGCUCAUCACAUCUCUCGAUGGCUACUCCUCGACGUCGAGAGGGUGAGCUCUCGGCCUGCUGGACCGCCGCCACUUGAAGCAGAGUCUGCACCUCGUCUCGAAUUCGCCGCGCUUGGGAGUUCGAGGGUUUAGGCAUGUUACGUAGCAUCAUUGUUGCCGCCACGACGUUCUGGCCUGCUCGGGGGAAGCGGCUGACGGGUUACUCUGGUUCCCCAUCCCUGACGAUCUGUCGAUGUACCUCUCGAGCUCGUCUGCGGGCACUUCCGCCAGGCGGGUAUGGUUGGUCCUGCUCGAGGAUCUUCUCGAGCUGGACAAGGCGCUCGCGAUCUUCGUCGAGCUUUGCUUUGAGCUCCCGUAGCUACGCAAGUUGCGUGGCUUUGUCUUCCUGCGGCGGGGGGUCGACCUGACCAUCAUUCCCAGGCGUCCUGGGGUCCUCCCUUGCUACAGGGGCUCGACCGCCGAUGAUGGCGUCUGUGUUUCCUCGGUGGUUUCUACCUCCCCGUCGACGUUGAAGCAUUCCCUAGUGGGGUCGUAGCUGUCGGAUUCAGAGUCGAGGUCCGGCUUGGCGGCGUAGAAGCAUCCACGUCUUUCCUCCAGUAGCCGCUGCCUGAGCGAGGUGAUCGUGUGUCGCCCAGGUCCUAGGCGUCAGAGGCCUCGCUCCUAGGAGAAAUCCGGUAACUCAGCCGCUUGCUGCUGCAGCGUCGCAUGGGAGGACCAUUGGUCGCUCCACGUACGUCUAGGCGUUUGGACAUAUCCUCCUGGCGAGCGACGCCGCGGCGUUGUCCAGACCGAAUGGUGGUGCUCUUCUUGAGGUGAAUAACCCGUGCGGAAGUAGCGUUGUGGGGGACGAGAGCGCGUGAGGCGCAUCGUCACCCAUCGUCGUCGCGCGAUCCUCGUGACGUCGGGCCGUGGCACCCGCGGCUUCGGCGCGCGGGGUUGUCGGCUCCUGCGUCACCACCGACCUGGCACGAACCGGUGACUGUGAGGAGGCAGGAUAGCGGCGGCACUGUCCACGCCUCUUCUUGGGCGGGGAGGCAUGGUGGCAAGGCCGUCUUGGAGCCCUCAGUCGUGCGGGCGCAAUGCGAGCUCCUUCCGGUCCUUUGACCGAGAGCAGGAUCAUGUCGUAGCCGAAACUGGUAGACAUGAACUCGAGGCUCCCGAACCAAAUCACCGCGGAGUGUGGAAUCUGUGAAACGAGAGUGGCCAUCUAGAAAGAGAUGGGAAAUCAGCGAAAAAACACGUAGGACCCCUACCUGGCACGCCAACUGUCAGUGUUUUCCCCCCGGGGGUCACACCAACGAGUAAAACUUACAAAGAUUUAUCCUGGUUCGGGCAAGAGAAGGCCCUACGUCCAGCGGGGGGGGGAGAGUGUUUGUAUUAUCUUGCACCUAAGUGCUUGUACAGGGGUGAAUACAAGUUGGUAAGAUGUGGAUGGAUGGAGAUGGAGUAUGGUUGCUCUUCUACGUAUGUCUUGUGUCCCCUAUCCUUUCCUGAGCCUCCCCUUUUAUAGUCCUAACGGGAGACCUAGGUUACAUGCGUAGGUGACAGAGUAGGGGUCGAUAGGAGUGUGGCGCGCUAACCUACUCGAGGCUUCCAUACCGGCGUGGCCUCGAGCUGUCUUGUUACCCAGUACCUGGAUGACGAUUACGCGUGCCACUGAAUCCGGCUUCUGCGUGUCGUCCUAGAUUGGCUCAACCGUGGGCACGCCCGUACGUCGUGGCUACAGUUGCGUCGAGGUGGUUGAGGUGCUGUCUUUCGCCGUCUGACUCUUCUCAGGGAAGGAACACGCUCGCUCGAGGGUCUGAUGCCGUGCAAGGCCUUGCUGACAGGAGCGUUGACUUUGGGCGUCUCGAGGGGGGUCAUGACGAGACAUUCCGUCCGCCUUGCUGUGCCCUGUCAUGCUCUGACUCAUCCGGUGGACAAGGCUGCAAAAAUGGGCGAUUGGAUGGUUGCUUGCUUCCUAUCACGCUUCCCGUGGCUGUCGGGUUAGGUGGGAAUGCAGAAGGACACAUUAAAUGCCCUGGUUCCCGUACCAGCGCCAGGCGGCGGGCGGCGUCCUCGCGCUCGAGGCCUGCCGAUUCGUACGAGCCUGUUUCCGUAUUCGACGGUCACCGUUCGGUCAAGCCCCAGCUGAUUCGCACGACGCUCUUUCCAUGUUCGAGGCCAUGGUUGUUGUCUUGUUUUGACGAGCAUAUAUGCGAUCGGGGGGCGUCGAGUCGGGGGCCUCCAUAUACACACGGGUGCUUUCGUCAUGUCUGUCGGUUAGGGUACCCCUUACUGAUACCCUCGACAAAAGGUGAUAACUUGAAUACUUUGGUCCCCACAAUAGAGAUACGCCCGGAUGCCACGGCCAAGAGGUAUUCACGCGGAACUUGAGAACUCGCCAAGUUUGACUCGAUGAAUUCCUAAGAACUCCUAAGUAAAAAGAAAAUAAGAGAGUUGACGAAGUCGUCGAAAAGUAGAUGCUGGAAUAGAUGUAAAAACUUGUGUUUGAUUGAUUGAAUUGUCUCCUACAUUGCUACUAGGUCUAUAUUUAUACCCUGUCUUAAAAAGUUACAAACAGGUAUGACUAGGAUUCUAAUUCCAAACUAAACGGAAUCCGUAUACAAAACAAACUCUAAUAACUAUGGAAAUCAUUAAUUUAUCUAUCCUAGGCGAUCGGCACACCACCAUCAUCUUCCUGACGAUUCCUACACCUUCCUCCACUAUCAUUGGCAUAUCAUCCUCCAUCGGCAUCGGCAACCGUUAACAUUAGCCAUCGGCACAGAUCAACCAUUAUCCCUGGACUUGGUCAUUUCCUGCUGCUUUAUCAUCGGCAUCAUAACCCAUCGGCAACUCCCUUGUCCACCGGUCAUUACUUCUUCACCUGCCGAUCCAAGUUCUAUUAACUUUCUAGAUAUGUGUCAAAAAAUGGUGUCAAAAAAUACUAGUAAGUCCGUGGUUAUUAUGUUCUUUGGUUUGCGACUCUUAGAGUACUUAGAUUCUUGGUUAUUCUUGGACUAGAGUUGCAUGUCGUGUGUAGACGUGGUGUUUAGACACAAUCGCACAUAGAUAUCCUCCUACUGGCCGGGCAAGGAUAGUUCGCGGGGAGUGACCCAAUCGUCUUGAUGAAUUUAUAGCUUCCUGUCAUGCUAGUUAGGACUGGUAGGACGUAAGAGCUAGUUUAGAGUGCUCUUUGCAAGUACUUUAGCCUAGUUCGUCCCCUCUAGAACACUAUUAGCAUAACUUACCAUAGGUUUGAACUAGAACCCUUGGAUGUCUUCUCAAUAGCCCCUUAGUUCCCUUGUUUCAUACUCAGGGGUUAAGUUUAGCCUUGGUUAGUCAUUGCAUGCUUUCUCCUUGUGGAUAAACAAAUACGAUACUCGAGAUAUCUUUCCCAGGUGAAGUGCUACUUCGGUAUAUUCGUGCGCUUGCAGAUUAUUUCUUUGAUUCUUCUGUAUUGCGUAAUAAAUACCAACAAGCAUUUCUAGCGCUGUUGCCGGGGAGAAAGAUGUCCGUUGAGAUAAGUUAAGACUAAGCUUCACCUUGUAAUAUACUUUUAUCUUUUAUCUUUAUACCUUUUCCUUUUGUUUUCUAUCCUUAUGUAUAUUCAAAAUUCCACUCAUAUAUAUCAGUAUCAUGCACCCAUGAGUGCAAGCCUAGAGCCACUAGAGCCUUUAAUUACCACACCUAGCUAUGAGCUGCGCCCAUGCCUUGUUGCAAUAGGUCAAGACCAACCCAUUUGUAGAACCUAGAUCCUAUCUUUUAUGGAAGGUAAUGAAUCUUUGGCCACAAUCCUAUCUUUUAUGGAGGGUAAUGAACCUGUGUUUACAUAGUGGGAAUGUUUCAAUCUCCUUAUAAAUUUUGGUUCAGACCUAGCAUUACUAACACCCAUGCAUUAUGACCUCAGUCUUAGUAAUGAUUCCAUGAAAUCCCUAGAUAUGACCUUUGGAGUCACUUUCCUUUCUCUAUCUGCUAGUGAAGCAAGGUUUGUCCUUGAUCAUAUAAAUGGGCACACUCCUUGCAUCAUUAAGAAUCACGAUGAACUCUUAGAGGAAGAUAAGGAAUCAACCCCCAAACAAGAAGAGGAAGUUUCGAUAGCCAAAUUAUAACCAUUUGAAUUCCAUAACUUGGCUAUCAAUCCCAAACCAUAUGUACUCCAAAUUCCUUCAAGGGAAGAAGAAAUUCUACCCUUGGACAUGCAUUCUGAUGAUGAGUUUUGGGAGGAGCUUGAUCUUCCUGCUCCAUAAGAGACCUCCAAGUGUAGAUACAUUGAAUCCCCAUAGGAAGGUAUCACUUAAGAAGCAUCUUAAGGAAUAUCUAGAAAGACUCAAGGAUGACAUUUUGAAUGAUGCCAUAGAAGGAGAGCAAAGCCAUCUAGAAGCCACUCAUAUCUCUUCUCCUUCUAUGCCAACACUAGAUACAAAAACUAAACUAAUCUUUAAUACCAUCCUUGUCCUGUAUGAGUCCUCUUGUGCUCUUUCUCUUGAGACUCAUGAUGAUCCUAGUGAUCCACAAAGACAUCCAAAUCAUAGGAUUCAUCAAGACCAUCGAGAAGAACAACAUCAAUGGCUAGUGAGCAUUCAAAACCUAUAUGCUAUUGCCAUUGAGUGGAUGGACAAAGCCAUAGAUGAGACCAAUCCAAGAGACAACAAUGCAAAGAGUUUUGAACAAUCAAAAAAAUCAACACUGGAGUUUGAAAACGAUGGAGACAUCAGUGAGCAUGGAAGCCAUUUAAUAAACACCACAUCUAGUUUUUUCUCAUUUGAGAAAUCUCCUGAUUCAAUUGGUCUCUGCAAUUUUGCCACACAUGAGAUCUUCACCCCCUCACACUUGAUGAUCUAAAAGAUUUAAAGGGGAGGUUGUAGAUACACAUGUCUAUCAUAAAUUUUGUAGAUCUCGUUGUGCUGGCCUUGUCUUGAGAUAUACGCACACAAGUUUGUGUUGGAGGGGAAACCACUUCACCAAAACACAUUUUGAAGGUUUCCCAAGGAUGAAACUUGUGUCCUAAAACAAGCAGUUUUGAGACCAUAACAUGAGUGUUCACCCAUUUGAUCGUAAUACCCUUGCGAAGUGAGCAUAGAGAUAUAAUUGAAAAUAUACCUUCGGGUAUUCUUAUCACUAAUCUUUCCAAGUUUGAGCAAAGAGGACAAAGGAAUGAUGAAUAUAGGUAUGUGCAACCAAUCAUCAUGAAACAUUAAUUGAAUUUGUCCAAUCUUGAUUUUUGCAAAAUUAAAGCUUGGGGGAGUGAUUUCCAUGAAAACAUCUAUUGUUACAUGACCUUGGUUUACGCUACCUUUAAGACAUGCUCAAUUUGCUAAAACACCAAUCAUGCUCUUUCAUCUCCAUUUGUGUAUAUCUCUAUAGCGCUUACAUGCUACCUUUGUCUAUCAUAGUAAAUUUUGGUUUAGAAGUACUGCACAUACUUCUAUUGGCUUUUAAAUUAAGCAUGGUGCUUAGGUUAAGUAUCCUUCUGUAAUCAAAUUAGACAUGGAGUCUAGUUUGGUUAUUGAGCUAAAAACUACUUUAGACAAUGGUAUACUUUGUUGGACUAACCCCUACAGGAAAACUCUUCAAACCAAAUUGGGAAGGUCCUGAGAUGAACUCACUAUAGAGAUGAAGCAAGGCGCAUGAACUUCAACCACUUUGCACAAGGGGAGACAUAGCUAGUAAAAGAGGAGUGCCUACACGAGAGCACUCACUCCAUUGAACAAGGUGAACAGAUUUCCAUUGUGCCAUUGAACACCAUCAUGGAGGAACUCGAGUGCAGUUUUACUCGUAGCCUCUUGUUAACCAUUAAUCAACGGGAAUCAAGAGAAACUGACAUGAGAAGAGCAUGCAACUUUCUGCACCCUCACUUCCUGGAUUGAAAGGUUGAUGCAAGAAGGAAGGACAACUCAUCUAAAGGAUCCAACUGGGUUCUUCCACCUCCCAUGCUCCCAUCACUCCGUCACACUAGUUUGCAAUCUCUCAAUCCACUAUUACUUUAUUUCUUUAAGUUUGAUUUAUUCCACAACUCCCAUAUAUGAAUCAAACAUAAGAUAAAAAGAAAAAAUAUAUAAAAUCAAUCCUCUACAAACAAAGCAAAAGUUGAACUGCUAACAUGAUCAAACAAACUUCAUUGUAGCAUAGAAGGUGACAUUUAGCUGUAUGACAACGCUACCCAUGUUAUCUUUUGUAUAUUCCUUCGGGUAUGUGUCAUCCACUAAUGAUUUGCAGGAAAACAAAAGAAAAAGAGAAAUAGAGAAAAGAAUGGCAUGACAAAAAGGCAAGAAGGAUGGAGUGCAAGGAAAGGGAACAAGUUGUUCGUCAACAAGAUCGAUGACCUACCAAACAAGGGAAGCUACCACAAGGUGCUACGGGAUCAACAAGCUCCAACACUGAAGGUAACACCUCUGGUUAAAUGAUCAUAAUUUUAAAUUCUUUUCCCAUGAUUCUGGUAUGCACAUAAAUGAAGAACCAAAUAUGUUUGAGUUGUAACUUCACUUGAUCCAACUUGAUUAAGUCAACAUGUUCAAUUCUUUAUGUUUUGUUGAUGCAAAAGUAAAUCUGUAAACACAAAGGGCUAAUACCCGAUUUCGAUGUUGAGGCGUGCCAGCCGAUUUGAACUAGCAAUCGACAAAGGUGAUAACUCGAAUACUUUGGUCCUGACAACAGUGAUGCGCCCAGAUGUCACAGCCAAGAGGUAUUCACGCGGAAGUCGAGAAAUUCAUCGAGUAUUGCUUGUUGAAUCCCUGAGAACUCAUAAACAAAACAAAAAUAUGUGAGUUGACGAAGUCAUCAAAAGUAGAUGCAAAAGUAGAUGUAAAACUUGUGUAUGAUAUUAAUUGAUUGUUUUCUUACAUUGCUGCUAGGUCUAUAUUUAUACCCUGACCUAAAGAGUUACAACCGUAUACGACUAGAAUUUAAUUCUUAAACAAAACAAGACUCUUACAUAAGGCAUACUUUAAUAAAUAUGGAAAACAACCAUCUAUCUAUUCCAGUGUCUGCUUCAAUUACGAUGAAACCUUUCAUCGGCUCUGCUUCAUUGGCAUAUCCUUGUUGCCUCCUUAGAAACUUCCACACCUUUCUUCAUCAGCAUCAGCGAUCAUCGACAUCGGCGAUCAAUCGGCAAUGAUCAGUAACUACCGUCUCAACCCUCAGGCCAACGACAUCCUCCACCUGUUAGCCUGUCAUCGGCAUCAUCGGCAAUCGACAAUCUUCUUAUCGGCUUGACACAGCAUUUUCCUGACUACCGAUCAGUUCCUCUUGACCAUCCUGACUUAUGCCUAAAAAUGGUGUCAACACAUGCCCCAAUUUUGGAGAAUAAAAUUAUUAAUGCUCCAAAAUUCUCUCCAGAUAAUUACGACCUUUUCAUAAUCACUUUCCUUUCGGUAAAAAAUUAUUACCAAAUCCAAACAACUUUAAUCAUGACUUCCAUAUCUCAGUAAAUAUCUCAAAUCUUCCAACCAUCCGAGCCGAAUCAUAUAGAAAAACGCUCAUCGACAACUUUUCUGUUAGGAUAGAUUACCAAUGACCGACUAAAAUAUUGUGUACAGUGAAAUGUCCCCAAAAUUAUGAUUAGUUGCCAUCAAAUCACCUGCACAAUCCCUUGAUUAUCGUGCGAACAGUUACCAUAUCCAUCUGAACAACCUCGAAUUUCACGGAUACGGCAAAGAGAUAAGACAAAAUACCCCUACUCAUCUCAACAUAUAAAUACCUCCUUCCUCAGCACUCAUCUUCUUGCGAGUUUAUAUACUUGGCAUUUUCUUCCUAUUUUUUCUGUCCUUUUGAUCCCCAAACUCUAGGAUUUCAGUGAUAAGAUUGUUAUUCCCACUAAGCAACCUCACCUCCAAUGCCUGAGUCCAAUGGGUAAUCCAGAUCCUACUGAUUUAAUCAACACAGAAACCAACAGGAUCCCCUUUAGAGCCAAAAACUUCUCCUUAGAUCUAUGGAAGGAUACUUUCCGAUCCUAGCCAAAACCAACUAAGGGAUGGAAAGAUUGGUUCUUGAGAGUCAGUGGGACAAAUGAAGUGUACUGGGGGAACACAAACUAGACCAAUGCAUCAGACUCUCCAUUGCUGAUAUGGAGAAGAAUGAGUCAAUGAUGAUAGCAGCUUCAUACUUCUGGUUAGACACCCUCAAUGCUUUUAUAUUUGGUCACAGCCCAGCUUCCCCUACACUUUCCGAUGUCCUCAUGCUUACUGACUUGGAUAUCUCAACUGCCGAUGAUGGUGGUAUUUUUUACUAGAAAACUCAGUACAAAGUAGAAACCUGUAACAUUAGUGGCUGGUCGGGAUACAUCUAGAAGUAUCGGCAGACUGGAUCGGUUGGCCAGAGAGAGCAUGCCUUCUUUCUGAACAUGUGGCUAGACAAGUUCAUCUUCUACGGCCGAUCAGUAGGGCCAACUUCUGUUUACCUAUCGGCAGCAGAGCGACUAGCCAAUGGUCAUCGAUUCCCCCUUGGCCGAUACCUUCUGGGCUCUAUCUAUCACCUCCUCUAUCAAGUAGCUGAGAAACUCCUGCUAGGUGAACCCAUCGGCAACCUGGGAGGCCCUUGGUGGUUUAUUAAUGUGUUGCUCAACGACCAUAUGCAUAAACGUCUGCAAUGGGAUUUCUUCACACAACAGUUCCCACGAGACAUUGCUGAGGACUAUGAGCUAGUAGAGGAUGAAUAGGCAACGCGCUCGCCCCUCAAUUAUGGCGAAGCCAUCAUAGUCCUUCCUGGGACCGAUGCAAACGAGAACCAGAUCGGCUGAUUCAUCCAAACAUUUUACAAUGGCCUUUCCAGGGAUCAUCGGGCUUGGAUGCCUUACAAAGACAAAGAAUCUAGAUUUCCACUCACCUUCCAUCCUGCCGAUGACGCACUCAACAAGGAUAAUGACUUGAUGAUGGCAAUCAUCACCCCAAGAGCAAUCCCAGUAAACAACUUCGGCAGUGGGAAGAAUACCAACACAACUUAUGAAUUUUAUAACCCAUCAGCACUAUCUCAUCAACUAGCUUUUGGUCAGUUGCCCAUUAAACUCUGCUAUGCCGAUGUGGUUAAGCCAAGGGAGACAAUAACCAAUGGACUCGAGUGGAUCAGAGUAGCUCAACUCCAGCCAGAUGCCGAUACAACAGAUGUUGAUCUAUCGGCUUGGGUCCUAGCCUCCUUCAUUACGCAAUCAUAUAAGUAUUGGUGGGAAGAAUGGAAAGAACAUAUGUUCAAGGUAUCAGUUCAUAUGUACCAGAACAUGAUCGACCCCAAGCAUGAAAUCCCUAACGACGUUGUUAGUUUUUUCUGAUACUCAGUCCUUUCAUCAGUUUUAACUUUAUUGGCAACUUACUUCUUUAUUUCAACAGGUCGAUGAUCCAGCACCAACAGUGAGCAAAAGUGGGCGGCCGAUCGAUCUUCAUCCAAUAUCUCCAGUCUCUUUGAUUGGCCACAAUGCCCCCAGCCUAGCAGUCCUAAUGCACCGAGGUGUUCGUUUCAAGAAGAUGACCACUAAACGGUCGAAAACCUCUCCAUCGGUAGCUGCUACCACUCUGGCACAAGCUUUCAAGGUAAAUCUUCAAUUUUUUCAUUAUUCUGAUUCCAUCCCAUACUUACAUUAUUUUUUCAGGGUGCAUCGGCUACGACUAGAACGUUAUCGGUAACUUUGCUCCACAUUAGAUACUUUCACUUUUCAAUGAAUUCCAAAAUACUGCUCUGCUCUCAUAUUUAACUUACCGAAUUUUAAAUUUUGUGACAGCAAAUUGGUGCAUCGGCAAAGGCCAAAGGUACUCAAUCGGGUGCCGAUGCCCCCCCCCCAGUCGACGACUAGCCAAGCUCCGCCUAAGAGGAAAGCACCAAAAAGCACCAAGAGUCAAUCGAAGCGGUAGAAAGCAGCACCAUCCUCUUCGCCUCAUCGAGCGCCUCAGACUCAAACAACACCAUCCUCUCCGCCUCAUCCAGCGCCCCAGACUCAAACAGAUCUGGCCGAUGCACCUAAACAGAUCACUGAUCUAGUUGACCAAGGCAUGUCAUCGGCCGUUAUUCCCGAGCAGACCAUCGUUAUUUCCCCUCAAGGUAAAGUAUCAAUCACACAAUUAUUACCGAUGGACCUUUAUAUAAAUACCGUCGUCACCCUUAGUUUUUUCAGUUGAAAGCAUUCCAUCGGCAACUCCGGCCGAUCAGAGCACGGUACAAGUCACAUCUCCAAGCUAGAGGCAAGAAAUUUCUCUGAAACAAGUAAGCCACCCGAACUGCUAGACUUUGUACCAUUCAUACUUAGUUUUUACUAACUCAUCCUCCCCUUUGUUUCUAGGAACAAGAUUCCCCUGAUAGCUUGUUUUCUUUUGCCAUCAACAUUUCUGAUGACGAAGGUGAAGAGGCAAGUUCCUCAUUGGCGCUUGGAAUCGCAUCGACGGAGAUCAAGUCCAAACUAGAAAAUUUACUAGCCUUAUUACAACAAGACACGGCUCAGCUAGUGGAUGACUCUGAUCAGGCCAAGGCUAUCUUGAAGACUCUCCGCGGCUAGAUUCCUGUCGAUACUGAGGAGAUGCUUUUUCAAGCUGCCCACCGGGAGAGCCGUCAACUUCAGUACCAAAAGGCCGUUCAGCGCCUUGCCGAUAGAGCCACGCAUACCUAGCUCAAAGAGGAGAUUCUACAAGUGAAGCACGCCACCGAUGAGAAGCAUAAGAGCAUCGGCAUUUUGCAUCCCUCAGGUGUCGAACUAAAACAGAGAAUCUUUGAUCUAUCGGCAAAGAGAGAGGCUCUGCUCGCUGAACUCAAACAAGUGGAGGAAGCUUUGACCCAGGCCCGACAGGAAGAAAGUCAACUGCCUAACGUGCUCAGAAAUCUUUAGCAAGAGAGGGAUGCCCAAGCUCGCAAGGCACUACAAAUGAAGAAGAAACUGAAACUAGUAGGUUCGGCUGAUGAAGACACCAAAGAGAUAGAAGAAGCUAAUUAGAUCCGUCUACGUGCGAUAUUGGCCAUCCAAGCUCUGCUAAAUAUGUGAACUUCUCCAUCAGCAGCAUGUUUCGUUGGUUCUUUUGAGAACACUAGCAUUUGAUCCAGCUGAUAGGAUUGUUAUCGGCACUUAAUCUCCUUAUGCGUUGAUUCAGAUACACUAAUAUUUUGUCCAGCCGAUAGGAUUGUUAUCGGCACUUAAACGUUUCAUGCAUCGACCAAGAUACUAGGAUAAUAUCUUUUUAAGUAUUUUCCGUUUAAUGCUCUGGGAAAUUCAACUCCUUCGAGUGUCUCCAAAAUAUAUGCAUUGCCAGGAGCAGAUCGACUUAUCCGAUAAGGACCUUCCCAAUUAGGAGACCAUUUUCCAAAUUUUGAACUUUUAGUCCCAAUCGGUAGAAUCAAUUUCCAAACUAAAUCUCCAUCGACAAACUCUUUAGCUUUUACUUUCUUAUCAUACCACUUAGCUACUCUCUUUUUAUUCUCCUCUAUGCUGAUCAAAGCUUUCAACCGAUGCCCUGCCAAAUCCUCCAACUCAUCUUUCAUCAAAAUAGUAUAAUCAUCGGCAGUCAAUUGAUCUUGAGAAAACAUUCACCUAGAACCAGUUUUAACCUCCCAAGGUAGUACCGCAUCAUGCCCAUAUACCAAUUGAUAAGGUGACACUUUGGUUGCACCAUGACAUGCCAUCCGGUACGACCACAAGACUUCAUUUGACAGUGUAUGCCAUCGCCUAGGAUUUUCCUCAUUUUUUCACUUGAUGAGCUUAAUAAUUCCUUUGUUAGAAGCCUCAGCCUGCCCAUUAACUUGAGCAUAACAAGGAGAAGAGUUUAACACUUUAAUCCCCAUACCAAUUGCGAAUUAAUCAAACUCCCUAAAUGUAAACAUGGUACCCUGAUCGGUAGUGAUUGUUUGAGGAAUACCAAAUUAGUAAACAAUAUGCUCCUUCACAAAAUCAAUCAUAUUGGCCGAUGUCACUUUCUUCAAAGGAAUAGCCUCAACCCACUUGGUGAAAUAAUCAGUGGCAACAAGGAUAAACUUAUGCCCUUUACUCGAUGGCGGAUAAAUUUGACCGAUGAGAUCAAUAGCCCAGCCCCAGAAUGGCCAAGGUUUAAUAAUAGGAUUCAUAGCUGAUGCGGGCGCCCUUUGAAUAUUUCCAAACUUCUAACAUCCUUGGCGUCCUUUGAAAUAUUUGAAGCAAUCCUCAAGAAUAGUCGGCCAGUAAUAUCCAUUCCUUCUAAUCAUCCACUUCAUUUUAAAAGCUGACUGAUGUGCUCCAUACACUCCUUCAUGGAUUUCACCCAUCAAUGUUUUGGAUUCAUCAUCACCAAGACAUUGAAGCAGAAUUCCAUCCACAGUACGAUAAUACAGUUCAUCAUCAAGGAGCACAUACUUGGUAGCUUGAAAUCUAAUAUGUCUUUCAACUUUCUUAGAGGGAUCUCUUAGGUAAUUAACAAUUUCUUUUCUCCGAUCAUUGGCACUGAUUGCCGAACACCCCCAAGACGGGUUGAUACCCCAAAGCAUGUUGAGCCAACCGAUUAGCUUCCUCAUUAUGUAAUCGGGGAAUAUGUUCUAAAUGGAAAUCCUUAAAUUCCUUUAAUAACUGUAAACAUCUUUCAUAAUAAGAUAUCUAAAUCUCACUUCGGCAUUCAUAAACCCAAGCCAACUGAUUUAUAACAAGUAUAGAAUCACCGAAGAUUUCAACUACAUCAGCAUGAACUCCCCUCAACAACUCUAAUCCUUUGACCAAAGCUUGGUACUUAGCCUGAUUAUUUAUUGAUGUGGCAACAAUCGGCAAAGAAAAUUCAUACUUCUUUCCUCGAGGAGAAAUCUACACUAUACCGAUGCCUGCCCCCUGAUGACACGUGGACCCAUCAAAGAAAAGCGCCCAAGGAGCAACUUCCAAAGAAUUCACCAAACCGCAAUGUUGAGUAACAAAAUCGGUCAUAAUUUGUCCCUUGACCGCUUUAGCCGAUUCAUAACGUAGGUCAAACUCUGACAAUGCCAAUAUCCAUUUGCUGAUUCUACCACUCAUAAUCAGCAUUGACAACAUGUAUGUGACUACGUCAUCUUUGCAUAUAAUAAUACACUCGGCCGAUAGCAAAUAAUGCCUUAGUUUAGUACAAGAAAAAUACAGACAUAAGCAUAAUUUUUCAAUAGCCGAAUACCUCGUCUCAGCAUCUACCAAUCUCCUACUUAAAUAAUAAAUCACACGUUCUUUCCCCUCAAAUUCUUGAAUAAGAGCUGAACCGAUAACUGUAUCAUCGGUUGAUAAGUACAACGUGAAGGGCUUCCCAUGUUGUGGUGGAACCAACACUGGAGGAUUCGUCAAAUAACUUUUAAUCUCAUCUAACGCCAACUGUUGCUCUUUUCCCCACACAAACUUUUGAUCGGCUAUUUGCUUGAGCAAAGGACAGAAGGCCUUUAUCUUACCCGAUAAAUUAGAUAUAAAUCGCCUAAUAAAAUUGAUCUUGCCGAUCAGAGAUUGGAGCUCAAUCUUAUCGGCAGGAGCGACUACCUUGUUGAUUGCAUCAAUAGACCUCCUACUAAUCUCAAUUCCUCUCUGAUGCACCAUGAAACCCAAAAACUGGCAUGCCGAUACACCAAACGCACAUUUAUUAGGAUUCAUCUUUAAACCAUGCUUCCUUGUGCACUCAUGUAUCUUCCAUAAAUUGGCUAAAUGUUUGAUGAAAUCUCCAGACUUAACCACCACAUCAUCAAUAUAAAUUUCCACCAAAGUGUCAAUGAAUUCAUGGAAGAUAAAAUUCAUGGCCCUUUGAUAAGUAGCACCAGCAUUUUUCAAACCAAAAGUCAUGACUAUCCAUUCAAAUAACCCAACAUGACCAGGACACCUAAAUGAAGUCUUGGGAAUAUCUUCUUCAGCCAUGAAUAUUUGAUUAUACCCUGCAUUGCCAUCCAUGAAGCUAAUAAUCCGAUGUUCGGCCACAGCAUCAAUCAAAAAAUCGGCAACUGGCAUUGGAUAACCAUCCAUUGACGUAGCUUUGUUAAGAUUUCUAAAGUCAAUGCACACACGAAGCUUUCCAUUCUUUUUUUAAACAGGAACAACAUUAGAAAUCCACUCCGCAUACCAACACUGUCGAAUAAACUUAGCUUCGAUGACUUGCGGGUCGCCAACACCAGCCUUGCCCGCUCUCACAGGGAGAUCGAGAGGGCCAACACCGAUUUGGUUGGUCAAAACACUGCUCUAGAGGAGAAGAUUCGUGGUAAGCUUCUUUAUACUUUCACACUUCUUUUUGCAAGGUAUUUUUUGGUGUUGUCUAAUUUCCUCGCAUCGGUCUUUGUAGGGCUUAAGGACGAGCUUCUGGCUGCCCAGGUCGAGGCCCGCUCCGCCAAGGAUCAGCUCGAGGGGGAGGUUGCUUUGAACGGUCGACUAAGGACCGCGAUAAGCGAUCUCUCGGCCUCCUAGGAGCUCGAGCCUGUGGAUGAGUCAAGGGAGGAGGCUCAAGGCGACGCGCUGGUCGAUCAGCUGUGCUACCUAGGCGCCACGCUGAGGGAUCGAGUGCGGGACGCUCAUCAUACCGGGGUGAAGCGGGCAAUGGCGGUUGUCUGCUCAGGCUUUUCCUACGAUAUGGAGGUGGUGUCCCACGGCUUCGUCACCGACAUUUCUAAGACCGACAUAGAGAACGAGGAGAGGCUCCACGCCUUGAUCGACGACGCGGAGGUCCCUGGAGAAAGGAUGGCGAGGCUGUUCGUGCCAGAAGUACUUCCUCCCGAGACUAGCCCGGGUGCGGAUGAUAGUGGUGAGGGCGGAGAUGCGCAUUGAGGCCUGCGAGCCUAUGCUGGGUGUCAAGACCCACUAUAAAGUAUAAGUGAUACAUUGUGCUUUGAAUGGUUUUCUAUGAUUUGUGAAUAUUUGCUUAUUUUUGUGCUCGACAUUCCUUUGUUCCCUCGUUCGGUCUUUUGUUAAGGCGGCCUUGAUUGCCUCAAGGGUGAGGCAGUGAGUAGAGUUACCAUAGCCCGGGGGCAUAGGAGUUCUCAGGCUCGUUGUCUCUCGGCCUUUAAGGGGCUCGAGGUGCCUUUACUACUCGACCGUGCGAGGUUUACUUAUAGGAAAGAAAAAAUCGUUCGGUUUUUAGGAACUUGGGGGGUCCCCCUGCUAGCCCCCGAGGGAGUAUCGAUUAUGAUAGGUCAUAGUUGGCACUCCCUUCUAACGUCGAGACCUUGACCGGCGAAAAAGUAAAUUGCUCGAGGAAAAGAUCUCGUUUAUUCAUGCAUUCAUUCAUAGGAUCUCGGUACAGAAUGUACAUAAAAGCAUAAAACUUUGAAACUCCAGGGGUAGAAUCGACGUAGCUGUUCGAUGUUCCAUGCGUUGGUGAAGACUGCCCCUUUUUCGUCCGCGAGCUUGUACGUCCCUAUCUUUAGAACCUCGGCCACCACGUAUGGGCCUUCCCAGGGUGGGCUCAGCUUGUGGCGUCCUUGGUUGCUUUGCCGUCGCCAUGGGACGAGAUCGUCCACGUUCAGGUCCCUUUUGCGCAUGUGCUUGUCAUGAUAGCGUCGAAGCUUCUGCUGGUACCUGGCGGAGUUGAGGAGGGCCAUGUCUCGAGCUUCCUCGAGCUGAUCGACUGCGUUCUCUCGAGUCUCCUUAUUCAUCUGCUCGUUGUAGGCCUUGAGUCCGGGUGACCCAUACUCAAGAUCCGUUAGAAGCACGGCCUCGGAGCCGUAGACCAUGAAGAAUGGGGUAUAUUUCGUGGCCCUGCUAGGCGUCGUCCUUAAACUCUAUAGGACCGAAGAGAGCUCUUCGACCCAUUUCUUGCCGAAUUUCUUCAACCGGUUGUAGAUUCUUGGCUUGAGCCCCUGCAAUAUCAUGCCGUUGGCACGCUCGACCUGGCCGUUAGUUCAAGGAUGAGCAACUGCAGACCAGUUCACACGGAUGUGAUGCCGGUCACAGAAGUCCAAGAACUUUUUGCCAGUGAACUGGGUGCCGUUGUCGGUGAUGAUGACAUUGGGUAUCCCAAACCGGUGGAUGAUGUCGGUGAAGAAGUGGACGGCCUGCUCAGAGCGGAUGUUCGUGAUGGGUCGAGCCUCGAUCCAUUUGGAGAAUUUCUCCACGGCCACAAGCAAAUGGGUGUACCCUCCUGCCGCUUUUUGUAGAGGGCCUACGAGGUCGAGACCCCACACCGCAAAUGGCCACAUGAUGGGGAUCAUCUGGAGAGCAUGAGCGGGAAGAUGGGUCUGCUUCGCAUAGAAUUGACACCCGUGGCACGAGCGCACGAGCUCUAUGGCAUCAGCUACGGCCGUUGGCCAGUAGAAGCCUUGUCGGAAAGCGUUCCCUACGAGGGUCCGUGGAGCAGCGUGGUGGCCGCAAGCCCUCGAGUGCAGAUCCUCGAGGAGCUUUCGACCUUCUUCUAUGGUGAUGCAGUGCUGUAGGAUCCCGGUCGGGCUUCGUCGAUAUAGUUCGUUGCUUUCGCCGUAGAUCACGUACGAUUUAGCCCGCCGAGCGAUACGGCGGGCCUCAGAUCGGUCUUCUGGUAGCUCACAUCGAAUCAGGCAAUCGAGAAACGGCGUGCGCCAGUCGAACAGUCGACCGGGACGCUGUUCCACUUCCAUCACUUCUGCUGCCGCUAGCAGGGCUUCGAUAGCGUUGGUUGGACGAGGGGCGUUGGUUUCGACGUCAGCUCCCGAGCUCAAGUCGACGGAUGGCUCGUGCAGAUCUCUCGAGAAUGCGUCGGGCGGGACCAUGCCUUGAGUCGAUGCGAUCUUGGCAAGCUCGUCGGCCGCCUCGUUGUAGCGUCGGGCGAUGUGGACGAGCUCGAGGCCAUGGAAUUUGUUCUCAAGUCGAUGUACCUCCUUGCAGUAUGCCUCCAUCUUUGGAUCAUGGCAGCUCGAGGCCUUCAUUACCUGAUCGAUGAUGAGUUGAGAGUCGCCUCGAACGUUGAGGUGCCGAACCCCUAGCUCGAUGGCGAUCUUCAGCCCAUUGACAAGGGCCUCGUACUCUGCGACGUUGUUAGAUGCAGAGAAAUGUAUCCUAAUGACAUACCUCAUAUGGAUGCCGAGGGGUGAGAUGAACAGCAGACCUGCCCCAGCUCCCAUCUUCAUGAGAGAUCCGUUGAAGUACAUCGUCCACAGCUCUGCUUGAACUUGAGCCAGGGGGAGCUGAGAGUCCGUCCACUCCGUGACAAAGUCUGCCAGAGCUUGAGAUUUGAUGGCUUUGUGGGGCGCAUAAGUGAGGGUCUCACUCAUGAGUUUGACCGACCAUUUGGCGAUUCUUCCUUUGGCCUCCCGACUUCAGAUGAUCUCUCCUAAGGGGAAGGACGAUACCACCGUGAUAGGGUGACCAAGGAAGUAGUGUUGCAGCUUGCGUCGAGCGAGGAUCACUGCAUUGAUUAGUUUCUGGAUCUGUGGGUACUGUACCUUGGUUUCUUAUAGCACUUCGCUGAUGAAGUAGACCGGCCUCUGGACUGGCAGUGCAUGUCCUUCUUCCUGUCUUUCGACCACCACUGCAGCACUGACCACCUGGGUCGUUGCAGCAACGUAUAGAAGUAGAGGUUCUGUGGACUGAGGUGGAACUAAGACUAGGGCGGAGGUCAAUCUUUUCUUCAGGCUAUCGAGGGCCUCCUCGGCUUCGAGGGUCCAUGAGAAACGCUCAGCCUUUUUCAAGAGCUGGUACAGCGGCAAUGCCCUUUCCGCUAACCUCAAGAUGAAACGGCUUAGCGCCGCCAAACACCCCGUGACCUUUUGUACCCCCUUGACGUCUCGAAUCGGCCCAUCCUCCCAAUGGCCAAGACCUUUUCGGGAUUGGCCUCGAUGCCGCGCUGGGAUCCCAAGAGCAUGCCUCGAGGCACACCAAAGAUGCACUUCUCGGGGUUGAGCUUGAUUUUGUUGGCGCGUAGACAACCGAAAGCUAUCUCGAGGUCCUGAAUCAGGUCACCUCGUUUCUUCGAUUUGAUGAUGAUGUCGUCGAUGUAUGCCUCGACCGUCGACCCUAUAUGCUCGCCAAACACGUGGAGCAUGCAUCGUUGGUAUGUUGCCCCAUCGUUUCGGAGCCCGAACGGCAUGGUCACGUAACAGUACAUCCCAAAAGGCGUGAUGAAAGAUGUCGCGAGCUGAUCAGAUUCUUUCAUUUUUAUUUGAUGGUAACCAGAGUAUGCAUCAAGGAAAGAAAGGGUUUCACAUCCGAUGCGUGGUAAAGGGAAAGGAACAUUUGGACAUGCUUUAUUUAAACUUGUGUAAUCGACACACAUCCUCAUCUUCCCAUUCUUUUUCUUAACUAAUAUAGAGUUUGCUAACUAGUCGGGAUGGUGAACCUCCUUGAUGAAUCCGGCCGUCAAAAGCUUGUGGAUCUCCUCGCCAAUGAUCUUGCGCUUCUCCUCAUCGAAGCGACGCAGCCGCUGCUUCACUGGCUUGGAACCGGCUCGAAUUUCCAAGGAUUGCUCAGAGACUUCCCUCAGUAUGCCUGGCAUGUCCGAGGGACUCCAUGCAAACAUGUCGGUGUUCACAUGGAGAAAGUCGACGAGCACGACUUCCUAUUUGGGGUCGAGGUCGGCGCUGAUCGUCAGCACCUUGUCGUCGAAGCCGUUGGGGUUGAGCAGGAUCUUCUUUGUGCCUUCUGCCAGCUCGAAGCUGCCCGCAUGACGCUUGGGUUCAGGAGCUUCUGUAGCAAAGGCCUCGAGCUUCGAUGCAAGCUCGGUGGAGCUCUUGACAGCUUCUCCAUACUCGACGCACUCGACGUCGCACUCGUACGCAUGCUCGUAGGAGGAGCUGACGGUGAGGACCCCCUUCGGCCCGGGCAUCUUCAGCUUCAGGUAGGUGUAGUUGGGGAUAGCCAUGAACUUGGCGUAGCUCGGCGCCUGAUGAUUGCGUGGUACGUGCCUCGAAAUCCCACCACCUCAAUGGUGAGAACCUCCUUUCUGAAAUUGGUUGCCGUGCCAAAACAGACCGACAGGUCGAUUCGACCUACCGGCAACACCUUCUUUCCAAGCACGACACCAUGGAAGCCGCCCGCGCUUGGUUGGAGCUGUGUCUUUUUGAGGCCGAGGAGGUCAAGGGUCUCGAGGUAGAUGAUGUUCAGGCUGCUGCUGCCAUCCAUCAGCACUUUCGAGAGUCUGGCGUUGACGAUGAUGGGGUCGACGACGAGUGGGUAGACGCUAGGGGCGACUACCUUGUCGGGAUGGUCGCCUUGAUUGAAGGUGAUGGGGGUGUUCGACCAGUUGUGGUACUGGGGCACCGCCAUCCUUGCCGCAAAGACCUCACAGCACUCCCUUUUGCGCUGCCUUGCAGUUAUCUGCGUCGAGGGUCCGCCGUAAAUCAUGUAGCAGUCGUGGACGGCUGGGAAACCCUCGUCUUCUUCGUCGUCCCCCUUGGCCGCUCCUUUCUUUCUUUUGGUCGUCCUUCUUAAACCCCAGGCCGUCGAAGUGUCUUUUCAGCAUGCGGCAGUCUUCAAGCCUAUGGUUUGCCCCUCCCUUAUGGUAAGGGCAGGGUUCCUUUAGCAUCUUGUCAAAGAUAGCCCCCUCAGGGGGCCCUCGAGGUCUUUUAUGAUCCUUGGCAGCGACGAGAUCGUCGUCGAGGGCCUCCCGUUGGAACGACUGUGCUUUCUUCUUCUUGUUGUUCUUCUUGGGUCCUCGACUGGGGCCCUCAUCGUCAUCGGCUGGUGACUUCCCUUUGCCUCCUUCGCAGCUGAAGAAAGCGCCAACCGCUUCCUUCCCUGCUGCGUAGUUUGCCACUAUGUCCAUUAGCUCAUCGACGGUCUGAGGGCGAUUCCGGCCCAAUUCCCGCACCAAAUUUCGGCUAGUGGUGCCCGAGACAAAGGCUAGGAUGAUGUCAUGGUCUGGGAUGUGCGGCAGCUCGGUGCGCUGCUUCGAGAAGCAUCGAGCGUACUCUCGGAGAGUUUCUCUUGAUUUUUGCUUGCACUUGCUGAGGUCCCAUGAGUUGCCGGGCCGUAUGUAGGUCCCCUUGAAGUUGCCCUCGAAUACUCUGACCAAAUCGACCCAAUCGUGGAUCUGGUUGGCCGGGAGCUCUUCGAGCCAUCUGUGGGUGGUGUCGGAGAGGAAAAGUGGCAACUAUCGGAUGAUGGCUCGAUCAUCGGCUUGGGCGCCUCGCAAUUGAGAGGCUAGCCGGAAGUCUGCCAGCCACAGUGCAGGCUUGGUUUCACCGUUGUAUUUAGCAAUGCUAGUCGGGGGUCGAAACGGGCUAGGCAGCUGCAUGCUGUGGAUUGCUCUGCUGAACACGCGAGGGCCCGGCGGUUCUAGGGCCAUCCGGUCCUCGUCGCUGUCGUAUCGCCCGCCGCGGUGGGCACUGUAACCGCGCUCCUCUACAUCCCCAUGUCGACGGUGACGAUACUUGUUGAAGUCGUGUCGUGCGUCGUGUCGCCGUUGAUUAUCGAUGGGGUGGUUUUGGACAGGCGCUGUCCUCUUUCCUCGAGGGGGUGGUUGCUGAUGGACCGACACCUCCUUCUUGUUUCGGGCCGGCUCAUCACAUCUCUCGAUGGCUGCUCCUCAGUGUCGAGAGGGUGAGCUCUCAGCCUGUUGGACAGCCGCCACUUGAAGCAGAGUCUGCACCUCGUCUCGAAUUCGCCGCGCUUGGGAGUUCGAGGGUUUAGGCAUGUUACGUAGCAGCAUUGUUGCUGCCACGACGUUCUGGCCUGCUCGGGGGAAGUGGCUGACGGGUUACUCUGGUUCCCCAUCCCUGACGAUCUGUCGACGUACCUCUCGAGCUCGUCUACGGGCGCUUCCGCCAGGCGGGUAUGGUUGGUCCUGCUCGAGGAUCUGCUCGAGCUGGACAAGGUGCUCGCUAUCGUCGUCGAGCUUUGCUUUGAGCUCCCGUAGCUGCGCAAGUUGCUUUGCUUUGUCUUCCUGCGGUGGGGGGUCGACCUGACCAUCAUUCCCAGGCGUCCUGGGGUCCUCCCUUGCUACAGGGGCUCGACCGCCGGCGAUGGUGUCUUGUGUUUCCUCGGUGGUUUCUACCUCCCCGUCGACGUUGAAGCAUUCCCUAGUGGGGUCGUAGCUAUCGGAUUUAGAGUCGGGGUCUGGCUUGGCGGCGUAGAAGCAUCCACGUCUUUCCUCCAGUAGCCGCUGCCUGAGCGAGGUGAUCGUGUAUCACCCAGGUCCUAGGCGUCGGAGGCCUCGCUCCUGGGAGAAAUCCGGUAACUCGGCCGCUUGCUGCUGCAGCGUCGCGUGGGAGGACCAUUGGUCGCUCCACGUACGUCUAGGCGUUUGGACAUAUCCUCCUGGCGAGCGACGCCGCGGCGUUGUCCAGACCGAAUGGUGGUGCUCUUCUUGAGGUGAAUAACCCGCGCGGAAGUAGCGUUGUGGGGGACGAGAGCGCGUGAGGCGCAUCGUCACCCAUCGUCGUCGCGCGAUCCUCGUGACGUCGGGCCGUGGCACCCGCGGCUUCGUCGCGCGUGGUUGUCGGCUCCUGCGUCACCACCGACCUGGCACGAACCGGCGACUGUGAGGAGGCAGCAUAGCAGCAGCGCUGUCCACGCCUCUUCUUGGGCGGGGAGGCAUGGUGGUGAGGCCGUCUUGGAGCCCUCAGUCGUGCGGGCGCAAUGCGAGCUCCUUCCGGUCCUUUGACCGAGAGCAGGAUCAUGUCGUAGCCGAAACUGGUAGACAUGAACUCGAGGCUCCCGAACCAAAUCACCGUGGAGUGUGGAAUCUGUGAAACGAGAGUGGCCAUCUAGAAAGAGAUGGGAAAUCAGCGAAAAAACACGUAGGACCCCUACCUGGCACGCCAACUGUCGGUGUUUUCCCCCCGGGGGUCACACCAACGAGUAAAACUUAUGUGUGUGCUCCCCUGUCUAGAUGGUGAUGCAAGAAAGACACAAAAAUUUAUCCUGGUUUGGGCAAGAGAAGGCCCUACGUCCAGCGGGGGCGGAGACUGUUUGUAUUAUCUUGCACCUAAGUGCUUGUACAGGGGUGAAUACAAGUUGGUAAGAUGUGGAUGGAUGGAGAUGGAGUAUGGUUGCUCUUCUACGUAUGUCUUGUGUCCCCUAUCCUUUCCUGAGCCUCCCCUUUUAUAGUCUCAAGGGGAGACCUAGGUUACAUGCGUAGGUGACAGAGUAGGGGUCGAUAGGAGUGUGGCGCGCUGACCUACUCGAGGCUUCCGUACCGGCGUGGCCUCGAGCUGUCUUGUUACCCAGUACCUGGAUGAUGAUUACGCGUGCCACUGAAUCCGGCUUCUGCGUGUCGUCCUGGAUUGGCUCAACCGUGGGCACGCCUGUACGUCGUGGCUACAGUUGCGUCGAGGUGGUUGAGGUGCUAUCUUUCGCUGUCUAACUCUUCUUAGGGAAGGAACACGCUCGCUCGAGGGUCUGAUGCCGUGCAAGGCCUUGCUGACAGGAGCGUUGACUUUGGGCAUCUCGAGGGGGUCGUGAUGAGACGUUCUGUCCGCCUUGCUGUGCCCUGUCUGCUCUGACUCAUCCGGUGGACAAGGCUGCAAAAAUGGGCGAUUGGAUGGUUGCUUGCUUCCUAUCACACUUCCCGUGGCUGUCGGGUUAGGUGGGAACGCGGAAGGACGCAUUAAAUGCCCUGGUUCCCGUACCCGCGUCAGGCGGCGGGCGGCAUCCCCGCGCUCGAGGCCUGCCGAUUCGUACGAGCCUGUUUCCGUAUUCGACGGUCACCGUUUGGUCGAGCCCCAGCUGAUUCGCACGACGCUCUUUCCAUGUUCGAGGCCAUGGUCGUUGUCUUGUUUUGAUGAUCAUAUAUGCGAUCGGGGGGCGUCGAGUCGGGGGCCUCAAUAUACACACGGGUGCUUUCGUCAUGUCCGUCGGUUAGGGUACCCCUUACUGAUACCCUCGACAAAAGGUGAUAACUUGAAUACUUUGGUCCCAACAACAGAGAUACACCCGGAUGCCACGGCCAAGUGGUAUUCAUGCAGAACUUGAGAACUCGCCGAGUUUGACUUGAUGAAUUCCUAAGAACUCCUAAGUAAAAAGAAAAUAAGCGAGUUGACGAAGUCGUCGAAAAGUAGAUGCUGGAAUAGAUGUAAAAACUUGUGUUUGAUUGAUUGAAUUGUCUCCUACAUUGCUACUAGGUCUAUAGUCAUACCCUGUCUUAAAGAGUUACAAACAAGUAUGACUAGGAUUCUAUUUCCAAACUAAACGGAAUCGGUAUACAAAACAAACUCUAAUAACUAUGGAAAUCAUUAAUUUAUCUAUCCUAGGCGAUCGGCACACCACCAUCAUCUUCCUGAUGAUUCCUACACCUUCCUCCACUAUCAUUGGCAUAUCAUCCUCCAUCGGCAUCGGCAACCGUUAACAUCAGCCAUCGGCACAGAUCAACCAUUAUCCCUAGACUUGGUCAUAUCCUGCUGCUUUAUCAUCGGCAUCAUAACCCAUCGGCAACUCCCUUGUCAACCAGUCAUUACUUCUUCACCUGCCGAUCCAAGUUCUAUUAACUUUCUAGAUACGUGUCAAAAAACGGUGUCAAAAAAUACUAGUAAGUCCGUGGUUAUUAUGUUCUUUGGUUUGCGACUCUUAGAGUACUUAGAUUCUUGGUUAUUCUUGGACUAGAGUUGCAUGUCGUGUGUAGACGUGGUGUUUAGACACAAUCGCACAUAGAUAUCCUCCUACUGGCCGGGCAAGGAUAGUUCGCGCGGAGUGACCCAAUCGUCUCGAUGAAUUUAUAGCUUCCUGUCAUGCUAGUUAGGACUGGUAGGACGUAAGAGCUAGUUUAUAGUACUCUUUGCAAGUACUUUAGCCUAAUUCGUCCCCUCUAGAACACUAUUAGCAUAACUUACCAUAGGUUUGAACUAGAACCCUUAGAUGUCUUCUCUAUAGCCCCUUAGUUCCCUUGUUUCAUACUCGGGGGUUAAGUUUAGCCUUGGUUAGUCAUUGCAUGCUUUCUCCUUGUGGAUAAACAAAUACGAUACUCGAGAUAUCUUUCCCGGGUGAAGUGCUACUUCGGUAUAUUCGUGCGCUUGCAGAUUAUUUCUUUGAUUCUUCUGUAUUGCGUAAUAAAUACCAACAAGCUUUUCUAGCACUGUUGCUGGGGAGAAAGAUGUCCGUUGAGAUAAGUUAAGACUAAGCUUCACCUUGUAAUAUACUUUUAUCUUUUAUCUUUAUACCUUUUCCUUUUGUUUUCUAUCCUUAUGUAUAUCCAAAUUCCACUCAUAUAUAUCAGUAUCAUGCACCCAUGAGUGCAAGCCUAGAGCCACAAGAGCCUUUAAUCACCACACCUAGCUAUGAGCUGCACCCAUGCCUAGUUGCAAUAGGUCAAGACCAACCCAUUUGUAGAACCCAGAUCCUAUCUUUUAUGGAAGGUAAUGAAUCUUUGGCCACAAUCCUAUCUUUUAUGGAGGGUAAUGAACCUGUGUUUACAUAGUGGGAAUGUUUCAAUCUCCUUAUAAAUAUUGGUUCAGACCUAGCCUUACUAACACCCAUGCAUUAUGACCUCAGUCUUAGUAAUGAUUCCAUGAAAUCCCUAGAUAUGACCUUUGGAGUCACUUGCCUUUCUCUAUCUGCUAGUGAAGCAAGGUUUGUCCUUGAUCAUAUAAAUGGGCACACUCCUUGCAUCAUUAAGAAUCACGAUGAACUCUUAGAGGAAGAGAAGGAAUCAACCCCCAAACAAGAAGAGGAAGUUUCGAUAGCCAAAUUACAACCAUUUGAAUUCCAUAACUUGGCUAUCAAUCCCAAACCAUCUGUACUCCAAAUUCCUUCAAGGGAAGAAGAAAUUCUACCCUUGGACAUGCAUUCUGAUGAUGAGUUUUGGGAGGAGCUUGAUCUUCCCGCUCCAUAAGAGACCUCCAAGUGUAGAUACAUUGAAUCCCCAUAGGAAGGUAUCACUUAAAAAGCAUCUUAAGGAAUAUCUAGAAAGACUCAAGGAUGACAUUUUGAAUGAUGCCAUAGAAGGAGAGCAAAGCCAUCUAGAAGCCACUCAUAUCUCUUCUCCUUCUAUGCCAACACUAGAUACAAAAACUAAACUAAUCUUUAAUACCAUCCUUGUCCUAUAUGAGUCCUCUUGUGCUCUUUCUCUUGAGACUCAUGAUGAUCCUAGUGAUCCACAAAGACAUCCAAAUCAUAGGAUUCAUCAAGACCAUCGAGAAGAACAACAUCAAUGGCUAGUGAGCAUUCAAAACCUAUAUGUUAUUGCCAUUGAGUGGAUGGACAAAGCCAUAGAUGAGACCAAUCCAAGAGACAACAAUGCAAAGAGUUUUGAACAAUCAAAAAAAUCAACACUGGAGUUUGAAAACGAUGGAGACAUCAGUGAGCAUGGAAGCCAUUUAAUAAACACCACAUCUAGUUUUUUCUCAUUUGAGAAAUCUCCUGAUUCAAUUGGUCUCUGCAAUUUUGCCACACAUGAGAUCUUCACCCCCUCACACUUGAUGAUCUAAAAGAUUUAAAGGGGAGGUUGUAGAUACACAUGUCUAUCAUAAAUUUUGUAGAUCUCGUUGUGCUGGCCUUGUCUUGAGAUAUACGCACACAAGUUUGUGUUGGAGGGGAAACCACUUCACCAAAACAUAUUUUGAAGGUUUCCCAAGGAUGAAACUUGUGUCCUAAAACAAGCAGUUUUGAGACCAUAACAUGAGUGUUCACCCAUUUGAUCAUAAUACCCAUGCGGAGUGAGCAUAGAGAUAUAAUUGAAAAUAUACCUUCGGGUAUUCUUGUCACUAAUCUUUCCAAGUUUGAGCAAAGAGGACAAAGGAAUGAUGAAUAUAGGUAUGUGCAACCAAUCACCAUGAAACAUUAAUUGAAUUUGUCCAAUCUUGAUUUUUGCAAAAUAAAAGCUUGGGGGAGUGAUUUCCAUGAAAACAUCUAUUGUUACAUGACCUUGGUUUACCCUACCUUUAAGUCAUGCUCAAUUUGCUAAAACACCAAUCAUGCUCUUUCAUCUCCAUUUGUGUAUAUCUCUAUAGCGCUUACAUGCUACCUUUGUCUAUCAUAGUAAAUUUUGGUUUAGAAGUACUGCACAUACUUCUAUUGGCUUUUAAAUUAAGCAUGGUGCUUAGGUUAAGUAUCCUUCUGUAAUGAAAUUAGACAUGGAGUCUAGUUUGGUUAUUGAGCUAAAAACUACUUUAGACAAUGGUAUACUUUGUUGGACUAACCCCUGCAGGAAAACUCUUCAAACCAAAUUGGGAAGGUCCUGAGAUGAACUCACUAUAGAGAUGAAGCAAGGCGCAUGAACUUCAACCACUUUGCACAAGGGGAGACAUAGCUAGUAAAAGAGGAGUGCCUACACGAGAGCACUCACUCCAUUGAACAAGGUGAACAGAUUUCCAUUGUGCCAUUGAACACCAUCAUGGAGGAACUCGAGUGCAGUUUUACUCGUAGCCUCUUGUUAACCAUUAAUCAACGGGAAUCAAGAGAAACUGACAUGAGAAGAGCAUGCAACUUUCUGCACCCUCACUUCCUGGAUUGAAAGGUUGAUGCAAGAAGGAAGGACAACUCAUCUAAAGGAUCCAGCUGGGUUCUUCCACCUCCCAUGCUCCCAUCACUCCGUCACACUAGUUUGCAAUCUCUCAAUCCACUAUUACUUUAUUUCUUUAAGUUUGAUUUAUUCCACAACUCCCAUAUAUGAAUCAAACAUAAGAUAAAAAGAAAAAAUAUAUAAAAUCAAUCCUCUACAAACAAAGCAAAAGUUGAACUGCUAACAUGAUCACACAAACUUCAUUGUAGCAUAGAAGGUGACCUUUAGCUGUAUGACAACGCUACCCAUGCUAUCUUUUGUAUAUUCCUUCGGGUAUGUGUCAUCCACUAAUGAUUUGCAGGAAAACAAAAGAAAAAGAGAAAUAGAGAAAAGAAUGGCAUGACAAAAAGGCAAGAAGGAUGGAGUGCAAGGAAAGGGAACAAGUUGUUCGUCAACAAGAUCGAUGACCUACCAAACAAGGGAAGCUACCACAAGGUGCUACGAGAUCAACAAGCUCCAACACUGAAGGUAACACCUCUGGUUAAAUGAUCAUAACUUUAAAUUCUUUUCCCAUGAUUCUGGUAUGCACAUAAAUGAAGAACCAAAUAUGUUUGAGUUGUAACUUCACUUGAUCCAACUUGAUUAAGUCCACAUGUUCAAUUCUUUAUGUUUUGUUGAUGCAAAAGUAAAUCUGCAAACACAAAGGGCUAAUACCCGAUUUCGAUGUUGAGGCGUGCCAGCCGAUUUGACCUAGCAAUCGACAAAGGUGAUAACUCGAAUACUUUGGUCCUAACAACAGUGAUGCGCCCAGAUGUCACGGCCAAGAGGUAUUCACGCGGAAGUCGAGAAAUUCAUCGAGUAUUGCUUGUUGAAUCCCUGAGAACUCAUAAACAAAAAAAAAUAUGUGAGUUGACGAAGUCGUCAAAAGUAGAUGCAAAAGUAGAUGUAAAACUUGUGUAUGAUAUUGAUUGAUUGUUUUCUUACAUUGCUGCUAGGUCUAUAUUUAUACCCUGACCUAAAGAGUUACAACCGUAUAUGACUAUAAUUUAAUUCUUAAACAAAACAAGACUCUUACAUAAGGCAUACUUUAAUAAAUAUGGAAAACAACCAUCUAUCUAUUCCACUGUCUGCUUCAAUUACGAUGAAACCUUUCAUCGGCUCUGCUUCAUUGGCAUAUCCUUGUUGCCUCCUUAGAAACUUCCACACCUUUCUUCAUCAGCAUCAGCGAUCAUCGACAUCGGCGAUCAAUCGGCAAUGAUCAGUAACUACCGUCUCAACCCUCAGGCCAACGACAUCCUCCACCUGUCAGCCUGUCAUCGGCAUCAUCGGCAAUCGACAAUCUUCUUAUCGGCUUGACACAGCAUUUUCCUGACUACCGAUCAGUUCCUCUUGACCAUCCUGACUUAUGCCUAAAAAUGGUGUCAACACAUGCCCCAAUUUUGGAGAACAAAAUUAUUAAUGCUCCAAAAUUCUCUCCAGAUAAUUACGACCUUUUCAUAAUCACUUUCCUUUCGGUAAAAAUUUAUUACCAAAUCCAAACAACUUUAAUCAUGACUUCCAUAUCUCAGUAAAUAUCUCAAAUCUUCCAACCAUCCGAGCCGAAUCAUAUAGAAAAAUGCUCAUCGACAACUUUUCUGUUAGGAUAGAUUACCAAUGACCGACUAAAAUAUUGUGUACAGUGAAAUGUCCCUAAAAUUAUGAUUAGUUGCCAUCAAAUCACCUGCACAAUCCCUUGAUUAUCGUGCGAACAGUUACCAUAUCCAUCUGAACAACCUCGAAUUUCACGGAUACGGCAAAGAGAUAAGUCAAAAUACCCCUACUCAUCUCAACCUAUAAAUACCUCCUUCCUCAGCACUCAUCUUCUACCCUGCCAUUCUUUAUCUCCAUCCUCGCUCUCUCCGGUGGCAACUCUAACGAAAAGCUCAAGAACUCUGGCAACAAGUAACUCCCCUACGGUAAGACUCAUAACUCAAGACCUUCAAAUCCCUGAUCUACCCCGUACUAGAAGAAAUGGCCGUCAACUUCACUGUUCCUGAGGUUACUCCAUCCCCAUCUUCUCUUUCCUUUACUGCAGUUCUUUACAUUCUUGCGAGUUUAUAUACUUAGCAUUUUCUUCCUAUUUUUUCUGUCCUUUUGAUCCCCAAACUCUAGGAUUUGAGUGACAAGAUUGUUAUUCCCACUAAGCAACCUCACCUCCAAUGCCUGAGUCCAAUGGGUAAUCCAGAUCCUACUGAUUUAAUCAACACAGAAACCAACAGGAUCCCCUUUAGAGCCAAAAACUUCUCCUUAGAUCUAUGGAAGGAUACUUUCUGAUCCUAGCCAAAACCAACUAAGGGAUGGAAAGAUUGGUUCUUGAGAGUCAGUGGGACAAAUGAAGUGUACUGGGGGGAACACAAACUAGACCAAUGCAUCAGACUCUCCAUUGCUGAUAUGGAGAAGAAUGAGCCAAUGAUGAUAGCAGCUUCAUACUUCUGGUUAGACACCCUCAAUGCCUUUAUAUUUGGUCACGGCCCAGCUUCCCCUACACUUUCCGAUGUCCUCAUGCUUACUGACUUGGAUAUCUCAACUGCCGAUGAUGGUGGUAUUUUUUACUAGAAAACUGAGUACAAAGUAGAAACCUGUAACAUUGGUGGCUGGUCGGGAUACAUCUAGAAGUAUCGGCAGACUGGAUCGGUUGGCCAAAGAGAGCAUGCCAUCUUUCUAAACAUGUGGCUAGACAAGUUCAUCUUCUACGGCCGAUCAGUAGGGCCAACUUCUGUUUACCUAUCGGCAGCAGAGCGACUAGCCAAUGGUCAUCGAUUCCCCCUUGGCCGAUACCUUCUGGGCUCUAUCUAUCACCUCCUCUAUCAAGUAGCUGAGAAACUCCUGCUAGGUGAACCCAUCGGCAACCUGGGAGGCCCUUGGUGGUUUAUUAAUGUGUUGCUCAAUGACCAAAUGCAUAAACGUCUGCAAUGGGAUUUCUUCACACAACAAUUCCCACGAGACAUUGCUGAGGACUAUGAGCUAGCAGAGGAUGAAUCGGCAACGCGCUCACCCCUCAAUUAUGGUGAAGCCAUCAUAGUCCUUCCUGGGACCGAUGCAAACGAGAACUAGAUCGGCUGAUUCUUCCAAACAUUUUACAAUGGCCUUUCCAGGGAUCAUCGGGCUUGGAUGCCUUACAAAGACGAAGAAUCUAGAUUUCCACUCACCUUCCAUCCUGCCGAUGACGCAGUCAACAAGGAUAAUGACUCGAUGAUGGCAAUCAUCACCCCAAGAGCAAUCCCAGUAAACAACUUCGGCAGUGGGAAGAAUACCAACACAACUUAUGAAUUUUAUAACCCAUCAGCACUAUCUCAUCAACUAGCUUUUGGUCAGUUGCCCAUUAAACUCUACUAUGCCGAUGUGGUUAAGCCAAGGGAGACAAUAACCAAUGGACUCGAGUGGAUCAGAGUAGCUCAACUCCAGCUAGAUGCCGAUACAACAGAUGUUGAUCUAUCGGCUUGGGUCCUAGCCUCCUUCAUUACGCAAUCAUAUAAGUAUUGGUGGGAAGAAUGGAAAGAACAUAUGUUCAAGGUAUCAGUUCAUAUGUACCAGAACAUGAUCGACCCCAAGCAUGAAAUCCCUAACGACGUUGUUAGUUUUUUCUGAUACUCAGUCCUUUCAUCAGUUUUAACUUUAUUGGCAACUUACUUCUUUAUUUCAACAGGUCGAUGAUCCAGCACCAACAGUGAGCAAAAGUGGGCGGCUGAUCGAUCUUCAUCCAGUAUCUCCAGUCUCUUUGAUUGGCCACAAUGCCCCCAGCCUAGCAGUCCUAAUGCACCGAGGUGUUCGUUUCAAGAAGAUGACCACUAAACGGUCGAAAACCUCUCCAUCGGUAGCUGCUACCACUCUGGCACAAGCUUUCAAGGUAAAUCUUCAAUUUUUUCAUUAUACUGAUUCCAUCCCAUACUUACAUUAUUUUUUCAGGGUGCAUCGGCUACGACUAGAACGUUAUCGGUAACUUUGCUCCACAUUAGAUACUUUCACUUUUCAAUGAAUUCCAAAAUACUGCUUUGCUCUCAUAUUUAACUUACCGAAUUUUAAAUUUUGUGACAGCAAAUUGGUGCAUCGGCAAAGGCCAAAGGUACUCAAUCGGGUGCCGAUGCCCCCCCCAGUCGACGACUAGCCAAGCUCCGCCUAAGAGGAAAGCCCCAAAAAGCACCAAGAGUCAAUCGAAGCGGUAGAAAGCAGCACCAUCCUCUUCGCCUCAUCGAGCGCCUCAGACUCAAACAACACCAUCCUCUCCGCCUCAUCCAGCGCCCCAGACUCAAACAGAUCUGGUCGAUGCACCUAAAUAGAUCACUGAUCUAGUUGACCAAUGCAUGUCAUCGGCCGUUAUUCCCGAGCAGACCAUCGUUAUUUCCACUCAAGGUAAAGUAUGAAUCACACAAUUAUUACCGAUGGACCUUUAUAUAAAUACCAUCAUCACCCUUAGUUUUUUCAGUUGAAAGCAUUCCAUCGGCAGCUCCGGCCGAUCAGAGCACGGUACAAGUCACAUCUCCAAGCUAGAGGCAAGAAAUUUCUCUGAAACAAGUAAGCCACCCGAACUGCUAGACUUUGUACCAUUCAUACUUAGUUUUUACUAACUCAUCCUCCCCUUUGUUUCUAGGAACAAGAUUCCCCUGAUAGCUUGUUUUCUUUUGCCAUCAACAUUUCUGAUGACGAAGGUGAAGAGGCAAGUUCCUCAUUGGCGCUUGGAAUCGCAUCGACGGAGAUGUUGAUAUUUGGUAACGCAAUUAGAAAAUGAUCCGCAAGCGCACGGAUAUCGGUGAGCAUUUCACCCAGGAGGUUAUCCAGAGUUAUCGUAUUUAUAUUUUUACCACUGGGAGAAAGGGUGCAUCUGACUAACCAAAUCUAUUGCUACUACCCCUUUAGGCUACAAAGAAUGUCUCUCGAUGUGAGUGAUGUAUAGAGAAGACUGCAACCGUAGUCUCGUUCUAACCUUGGUAAGGAUGAUCUACUGUUCUAUUGAGGAGGCUCACGGAAUCUAGACAACACAAAGGAUGUUCAACCCGCACCUAUAAACCUACCCGUCCUGCUAACGAGAUGUGAUCUGCAAAGGUAACUCGAAAAUGUCACGUUCCUCGCUACUACCACGGUCCAGCUAGUCAGGGGAUAUCUAUGAGUACCCUAGCCUAAACACCACGUUUACGCUAACAAGUGAUUACUCUAAUACUCAACCGGAAGAGGAUUAAAGUAAACUCAUAAACCAAAGAACAAUAAAACAAGAACUUACUAGUAUUAGAAGUCGAAUUACUGAAGAAUCUUAGAAGCAAGCCUCGGGUUAGGAGACUUGAUCCCGUAGGUACAACUCGGAGUAGACACCGACAGGCCGGCCUUCCUCCGAUCCACACCUCCACUCUAUCUCUCUCAAUCUAGUAGAAACUAGAAGAUCUAUUUCUACUUUACAUUGGUUGCUAAGCCUAAAAAGAAAUAUUAUUUAGAGAAGAGGUUUUCCUUCGAGGGCACCCCUCAAUCUCUAUGAUAAUUUCUUGUCUCUUCCAGGGGCCAGGGGGCCUUGCUUAUAUAGUCCUCCCCUUCUAUGCGUUUUUGGGUCGAUAGGCGAGGUGGUACUAUGUUUUUCUUGAUCCAAUAGGUCGGUGGAAUAUCCCGAGCGAAAGAGUCCUGAUUUGGCUCCAACAGGGGGGCGGGCGCCCAGGCUACGAGGGCGGGCGCCCUGGGCCUGGCCCCUUUCGGGCUCCGCUUCCUUCCCGUGGCUUCUGGAGUCUUCUAGAUGGUAGAAAAUUGCGCGGUGGGUUGAUAUCUCUAUGUAAUCCCGACAUGUGGGCCUUUCUUCCUUAUUUCAUGAUAACCCCCUGCAGAAAUAGACAAACACCAAAACUCGUGGAAUUCUGUCAAAUAAAACCCUAAGUCUAGAUGUUGAUUUCAUUUGGAUCCUUUUCUUUGUUCAUUUGAUAAUUAAAUUUGAUACUUAAGGACCGUCAACAAACUCCCCCAAGCUUACCUCUUGCUCGUCCCUGAGCAAGGAUGAACUCAAGAGUUUCUGCAGUGGUUUCAUUUCUUAGAAGUACACACGCAUUUAAGCAAGAUCUCAUCUCUGAGUUAGAAUAAACUGUUAAGACAUAAAACUUACUUACUUUACCUACACCAUAGGACUUGUAACCGUCACUUCUGUCUUGAGUGGUUAAAAGAUAGCACAGUCUAGCCAAGUGCCAUGUCUCUUAUUCUUGAUUAGCUAUAGCUCUGGGGUUUUUGGAGAUUUUCAAAUAAAACUCAGAGAUUCCUUAUAUGACUCUCUCAGAUCUCUCUUUUGUGGUAUUUUUGGAUCCUUACCAAGGCAGUGAUGGUAUAUGCCUUCUCUCAAGAUAUGUAGUAUUUGUGGUAUGAAGCAUAGUGACAUUGUCUUCUCUCUCACCCUACUCUAAUAAGGCUUUAAUAUCUGAAGCUCAUAGGUGGGAGAUAAAGUAUACAUACUUACAAGACAUUUAUUGCAUAGUCAAACCAUGGAUCCAAAGUAACAAAUCAAUAAGCCAAAUCAAGAUGUGCAUGUGUGGCGAAUGAAUGGUGUAUGGUGAUGAUGGUGAUAACAAUGGUGAAAACAAUGGAGGUGGAAGUCUAAUUCUACUUUGCUCUUUGAGGGGAUACAUACCUUCCUUGCUUUUUGAAACUUUAUGAGGAGAAUGAGAUGCUCAUCUUUUUCUUUUCUCUCAGGUGGGUAUCUUGUACCCCUAAUUUCUAAUGUCGGACACUUGUCCAUUUUUACAUCUCGUCUCACUUUUUCUUUUCUUUCGAGGUUCCGAGCACUUGCUCCUUUUUAUUUCCUCGUAUUUCUUUUUUUUCUCUUCUUUUUUUUCAGAGCAUUCAUCUUUUGAGAUAAUAUAGCAAGUGGUAGUAACAAGAUAACUUGAGCAUUUAUUUCACAAGGGGAAACAGAAAUAUUUUUGGUUAUUCUCUCCCGGAUUAGGAGUAGAAUACUUUUGGGUGGUUUUGGAGAUGGAAAUGAGUGGAUAUAUGUGGAUGGUACUUCCGGAGUAGAAGUAGCAUGUAUGAGUGAACGUGCAAGUGAAUCUUGAUUUAACCACAUGACAAGCUCCUAAGGGUCUACACAGCUUGACCACACUCAAUGCUCAAAAGGAGUAAAUAGUAAAUGUGUGGCUCAAGGUCUAGCAAGCAUGUAUAUAUGGCUGUGGUAGGAAUUUAAACUCUCAUCAUACAGGAACUCAUCAUGUGUUAUUUUAAAGAUUUUUCAAAGAUAAAAUUCUCCAGAAUUCUAGCAUCUCUAGGAACAGAUGAACAGCAGCUCAACCUUCCCAUAUCGUAUCCGUUAACAACUUAGACUUCAGAUCAAGUUUUCAUCCCACAAGUUUAGGUCUAGAGCAAGCCUUAAAUUAUAACAGUUAUAUCUAAAUUUGAGAGAGAACUUCAAAUUUGCAAAUUAGGCAGAGCAACUAUUCAUCAUAUCCAUGCUUAAGUUUUAUUAGAUACCGAUUAGCAUAGCCACUUUAUUUAUUUAUUAAACACACUAAGCAAAAUAUAUAUAAGCAUAAAAUCUUUAUUUGGUUUUUCAUAGUUAUGUGUAUUUAUAUUCUAAUAUAGUAUAAGUAUAAAGAUAGAUAGAAAUACUUAUCGAGAUAAAUGGGGGUGCUCUCCCCCAAGCUGAAUUUUGACGUAAUUUCUCUUGAUGUAGCUAGCAGGUGGCAGAGGUGUGUUUGAAAGUCAGCAGUAUUUUGACAGCGAUUAGAAUGUCCUCCGUCUGCUAGUCUUCUUGAUUCUUAAAUUCUGUGGAGCUCAAAUAGACAACAAAGCUUGUGGAACUGGUUAAGUGUUAGCAUAAAUAUCUAGCCUUUAUCAUGUUGAGACUCCUUAAUAAAUAUUACUCCCUGUUUUUUUAUUUUUGUUUUUAUAAAGCAGAAAAAUAUUUAUUUUAUUUUUAUGCCACCACAGUGAAUGUACUUAUGGGUUUUAUGCCACUCGUCUACUCACAUGGGGCUUACAGUUUUUUUCACAUUUUUAUUUUCUUUCUAGGAUAAUACGAACAUGAUUAACUAAGUAAACUAUUUGAAAUAAUUAAAAGGGAAAGGAUAACUACCAAGUUUACCUCUUGGCAAGGCGUUCGGUGUUUUUAAGUCCUCCGAGCGGGACUCUCCAUUUUCUUAAUCGUCCUGGGAUUCACUGGAUGACGUAGUCGGUGAUUCCGGUGGCGCCUCCUCUUCGUGUGUAACUAUAUUCUCUCUCCACACCUGACUCGGUGCUACGGUCUCCUCAGGACAGUUAUGUUCAAGUCGUAUGUCUUCAGUCCUUAUCACUUCUCCUUCGUAGUCUACCCAUCCGUCCUUGAUGAUUUGCCUCCUCUGGUUGCGGUUGCGAUGUCUUCUUCUUGUCCUGACCUGCUUAGAGUCUUCAACUAUAUAGUUAGGGUCAGUAAAACAGCGGCAUACCUUCUCAGAGGAGAAGUGUAUGUGGACUUCUCCGGUUCCAAUAUAGAUGAUGGCUUUGAUAGUGCUGAGGAUCUGUCUUCCAAGGAUGGUGGGUGGAUCAUAUUCAUCUUCUCCCAUGUCAAUAACUUGAAAGUCAUCUAUAGCGGAAUGUAUAUUGGUUGUAGGGGCAUGGUUUCAUGCAGGAGCUGAUAAGUGACUACGGCCAUUAUGUUGACGUCAGAUCCGGUGUCGUAGAGUGUCUUCGGAAAAGAGUAUAUGUUGUUUGUGCAUUCGAUUCUUGGAACACCAGGGUCGUCCUUCUUGAUCAAGAAAGGUGACUUGAGUCGACGAUCUUGACCUCCUUGAGCUGCAGUGACCAUCUUAGCUGACUCGGUCCACAUUUGCUUGUUCCUGUUCCUCCUGUUGGUCCUCUUCCUUGGUUCAUGUCGGGAUUGCUCUGAAAUUUGUGGUCUUGUUCUUGAAGGAAAGUCUCCUUCUCUCCCUUGAUGUAGAAACUGAUCUUGGCAGUAUUAGCGUAGAUGACAGCUCUGGUGUUUAGGAAUGGCCUCCCUAAGAUGAUGGGUGCCCUCGCCUCAGUACCAGUCUCUAUCACCAUGAAGUCUGCUAGAGCAUACAAGGUACCAACUAGGACGCAGAGGUUCUUCAAUAUUUCCUUUUGGAAACUGAGUGUCCGAUCUGCAACCUUGGGCAUAAUGUUGACGCUCGAGCCAAAGUCGGAGAGUGCUUCUGGGAAGUCCACCAUGCCGAUGGAGAUCGGGAUGACGGGACGUCCUAGAUCACCUCUCUGAGUAAUUAGGCCUCUGUUGAUUCCAACCUUGAUGUUGUUGAGGACGGUUGUAGUAAUAGUUGUUAUUGUUGUUGAUGUAGUUCACGUCCUCAAGCAUCUUAGGGCAGUGAUUGCCUGAGCGUCCAGUAUCUCCAGUGUGUUUGUGCUCGUAGAUCCUAGUUCUUCACUUGGUGGAAUCUGGGAGUUGUAAAACUCCUUCAAAUUAUGCUCGAAGUGUUCCUGCUCAUAGAGACAAGGUAGAGAUCAAGUGCAUGGGCCCUGUUGGUGGAAAACACCAACAGAACCAAAAGUGUAUUUGUUCCUCUCUAACCUUAAGAAUAGUGAGCAAGACAAAGUUGAUGGAUCAUGAGUGUAGCAUUUGUCAGAUCAGAUGGCUCAACCUAAUGGAAAGAUAAUCUAUCUAUAUUUAUGUUUUGUUUAUAUCUUCCAAAGAUUGGAUGUGCAAUACUUUAGCUUAUAUGAUUAGGAGUGUGGGGUCACGAAGGUAGUACUAAGAACAAAGAUUAAAGGACUAAACAUGUUGAAUUAAUUGAGUUGGUUAAUUUGGAGUUAUAAAUCAUACAUGUUUGUCUCUUUAUUUAUGUGAAUGCCAGAACCAAGGAGGAGCUUAUAAAAGUGUUAGUCAAGUACCUUAAGAUGUUACCUUACUUGAAGAGUGAUGGUACAGUAUCACCUUGUGGAAGCUUUCCUUUCUUAGCGGUUGUGCAUCGUGUUUGUGGCACCCUCCAUGAAUCAUCUCUUAUGAGCUACGUCUUUCUUGUGCAAAUUGUUAAACUUCAUGUGUCACUUUCUUCAUCUCUAAUGAGUUUGCAUCUCAGGACUUCCCAGGUUGUUAUUGAAAGUUUUCCUACAGGGGUUAGUCCAACAAAAUAUACCAAUAUCUACUCAAGUAGUUUUUAGUUCAGUAACCAAACUAGACUCCAUGUCUAAUCAGAUUAAGGAAGGCUAUUUAACCUAAGCACCACGCUUAAUUUAAAUGCCAUUGGAAGUGUGACCAGUACUUCCAAACUAACACUUACUAGGAUAAACAAAGGUAGCAUGAUGGCUUUUAUAGAGAUCUACUCAAGUGGAGAUGAAGUAGUGUGAUUAGUAUUUAACAAAUGGAGCAUGUCUCAAAGGUAAGGACAACCAACAUAGCAACAUGGCAAAGGAUGUUUUAUGUAAAGUACUCCUCCAAGCUUGAAUUUUGCAAAAUUCAAUAUUGAAUGAAUUUAAUUUAAUGUUGCAUGAUGAUUGGUUGGGCAUACCUUGCGCUUGUCAUUCAUCCGAUCUUCUUGCUCCAAUCCUAGAAAGGUUAGUGACAAGAAUACCCGAAGAAAUAUUUCUACAAUUAUCUUUAUAUGCUCAAUACCCAAGGCAAUGUUGCAAAUAAUUAGAAGUGCUUGUUUUAGGACACUAAGCUUGUCCUUGGGGAACCAUCAAUUAACUCAACGAGAUCUGCAAUAUUUAUUAUAGACAUAUGCAUCGACAACCACCCUUUUAAAGUUUUUAUAAAUAGAAAAGAAGAGGGGGUUGGAGAUCUCAAAUGUGGUAAGGAUGGAGAGACAAAUUGAUUGGAGAGAUGUUUUAUAUGAGCAAGGACUGGGUGAGGUAUUUAUGAAAUAACUUCCAUGCUCACUGUUGUUUCUCUCAUUCUCAAACUCCAAGGAUGAUUCUUCAUGAAUGUUUAAAAUUCCUCUAGGAUUGUCUCUCAAGUUUGUUUUAUCUAUCCAUUCAAUGGUGACAGCACAUGGAUUUUUAAUGCCCUCUAGCCAUUGAUGUUGCUCUUCUCGAUCCUCCUUGUUAUGCAUGGGAUGUCUAGAGAGAUUCAUAUGAUUAUCGGGAGGUUUAAGAGAAAGAGCAUAGUAGAAUUUAUUAAGCUCAAGGAAGGUGUGGAUAGCCGAAUUAUGGGUUUGAAAUGUUUGGAAAUUGGCUAUUGAAACUUCCUUUCCUUGUCUGGGAGAUGAUUCCUUCUCUAUUUCUAAGAUUUUUCUAUGAAGACUAGUACAAGAAGGAUGUCCACGAAUGAAGACAUACCUUCCUUUACUAAUAGAUAAAGAAAGAAGGACUCUAGAAAAGGUUAUAUGAUUAAGACCAAUGUGAAAAUAUUUAGGAAAAACAUGGUCUUGUAGGGCUAGGUCUAAACCAGAAUUUAUAAAAGGAUUAAAAGAUUCCCUAGGUGUAGCUAAAAGUGCAUUAUCUUCUUGAUUAAAAGAUAGGACCUCGGCUAUAGAAAAGGGUUGGUUUUGACCUAUUGCAAUCAACUCCGGACACAGAUCAUAAUUAGGGGCAGGACGUGUUGACUCCCAUGGUCUAUGGCUGGUCUCCGAAGGUGCAAAGAAUUCAAUAAUAGGUAUGGACUUUAAGUUAUCCAUAAAGAUAAAAAGAUAAAAGAAUAAAAGUAUAAAAGUAUAAUACAAGAUAAUAGCAAGACUCAAAGUUAUCUCAGCAAACUGUCUUUCUCCCCGGCAACGGUGCCAGAAAUGCUUGUUGAUAUUUGGUAACGCAAAUAGAAAAUGAUCCGCAAGCGCACGGAUAUCGGUGAGCAUUUCACCCGAGAGGUUAUCCAGAGUUAUCGUAUUUAUAUUUUUACCACUGGGAGAAAGGGUGCAUCUGACUAACCAAAUCUAUUGCUACUACCCCUUUAGGCUACAAAGAAUGUCUCUCGAUGUGAGUGAUGUAUAGAGAAGACUGCAACCGUAGUCUCGUUCUAACCUUGGUAAGGAUGAUCUACUGUUCUAUUGGGGAGGCUCACGGAAUCUAGACAACAAAAAGGAGGUUCGACCUGCACCUAUAAACCUACCCGUCCUGCUAACGAGAUGUGAUCUGCAAAGGUAACUCGGAAAUGUCACGUUCCUUGCUACUACCACGGUCCAGCUAGUCAGGGGAUAUCUAUGAGUACCCUAGCCUAAACACCACGUUUACGCUAACAAGUGAUUACUCUAAUACUCAACUGGAAGAGGAUUAAAGUAAACUCAUAAACCAAAGAACAAUAAAACAAGAACUUACUAGUAUUAGAAGUCGAAUUACUGAAGAAUCUUAGAAGCAAGCCUCGGGUUAGGAGACUUGAUCCCGUAGGUACAACUCGGAGUAGACACCGACAGGCCGGCCUUCCUCCGAUCCACACCUCCACUCUAUCUCUCUCAAUCUAGUAGAAACUAGAAGAUCUAUUUCUACUUUACAUUGGUUGCUAAGCCUAAAAAGAAAUAUUAUUUAGAGAAGAGGUUUUCCUUCGAGGGCACCCUUCAAUCUCUAUGAUAAUUUCUUGUCUCUUCCAGGGGCCAGGGGGCCUUGCUUAUAUAGUCCUCCCCUUCUAUGCGUUUUUGGGUCGAUAGGCGAGGUGGUACUAUGUUUUUCUUGAUCCAAUAGGUCGGUGGAAUAUCCCGAGCGAAAGAGUCCUGAUUUGGCUCCAACAGGGGGGCGGGCGCCCAGGCUACCAGGGCGGGCGCCCUGGGCCUGGCCCCUUUCGGGCUCCGCUUCCUUCCCGUGGCUUCUGGAGUCUUCUAGAUGGUAGAAAAUUGUGCGGUGGGUUGAUAUCUCUAUGUAAUCCCGACAUGUGGGCCUUUCUUCCUUAUUUCAUGAUAACCCCAUGCAGAAAUAGACAAACACCAAAACUCGUGGAAUUCUGUCAGAUAAAACCCUAAGUCUAGAUGUUGAUUUCAUUUGGAUCCUUUUCUUUGUUUAUUUGAUAAUUAAAUUUGAUACUUAAGGACCGUCAACAAGAGAUCAAGCCCAAACUAGAAAAUUUACUAGCCUUAUUACAACAAGACACGGCUCAGCUAGUGGAUGACUCUGAUCAGGCCAAGGCUAUCUUGAAGACUCUCCGCGGCUAGAUUCCAGCCGAUACUGAGGAGAUGCUUUUUCAAGCUGCCCACCGGGAGAGCCGCCAACUUCAGUACCAAAAGGCCGUUCAGCGCCUUGCCGAUAGAGCCACUCAUACCUAGCUCAAAGAGGAGAUUCUACAAGUGAAGCACGCCACCGAUGAGAAGCAUAAGAGCAUCGGCAUUUUGCAUUCCUCAGGUGUCGAACUAAAACAGAGAAUCUUUGAUCUAUCGGCAAAGAGAGAGGCUCUGCUCGCUGAACUCAAACAAGUGGAGGAAGCUUUGACCCAGGCCCGACAGGAAGAAAGUCAACUGCCUAACGUGCUCAGAAAUCUUUAGCAAGAGAGGGAUGCCCAAGCUCGCAAGGCACUGCAAAUGAAGAAGAAACUGAAACUAGUAGGUUCGGCUGAUGAAGACACCAAAGAGAUAGAAGAAGCUAAUUAGAUCCGUCUACGUGCGAUAUUGGCCAUCCAAGCUCUGCUAAAUAUGUGAACUUCUCCAUCAGCAGCAUGUUUCGUUGGUUCUUUUGAGAACACUAGCAUUUGAUCCAGCCGAUAGGAUUGUUAUCGGCACUUAAUCUCCUUAUGCGUUGAUUCAAAUACACUAAUAUUUUGUCCAGCCGAUAGGAUUGUUAUCGGCACUUAAACGUUUCAUGCAUCGACCAAGAUACUAGGAUAGUAUCUUUUUAAGUAUUUUCCGUUUAAUGCUUUGGGAAAUUCAACUCCUUCGAGAGUCUCCAAAAUAUAUGCAUUGCCAGGAGCAGAUCGACUUAUCCGAUAAGGACCUUCCCAAUUAGGAGACCAUUUUCCAAAUUUUGAACUUUUAGUCCCAAUCGGUAGAAUCAAUUUCCAAACUAAAUCUCCAUCGACAAACUCUUUAGCUUUUACUUUCUUAUCAUACCACUUAGCUACUCUCUUUUUAUUCUCCUCUAUGCUGAUCAAAGCUUUCAACCGAUGCCCUGCCAAAUCCUCCAACUCAUCUUUCAUCAAAAUAGUAUAAUCAUCGGCAGUCAACUGAUCUUGAGAAAACAUUCACCUAGAACCAGUUUUAACCUCCCAAGGUAGUACCACAUCAUGCCCAUAUACCAAUUGAUAAGGUGACACUUUGGUUGCACCAUGACAUGCCAUCCGGUACGACCACAAGACUUCAUUUGACAGUGUAUGCCAUCGCCUAGGAUUUUCAUCAUUUUUUCACUUGAUGAGCUUAAUAAUUCCUUUGUUAGAAGCCUCAGCCUGCCGAUUAACUUGAGCAUAAUAAGGAGAAGAGUUUAACACUUUAAUCCCCAUACCAAUUGCGAAUUAAUCAAACUCCCUAAAUGUAAACAUGGUACCCUGAUCGGUAGUGAUUGUUUGAGGAAUACAAAAUUAGUAAACAAUAUGCUCCUUCACAAAAUCAAUCAUAUUAGCCGAUGUCACUUUCUUCAAAGGAAUAGCCUCAACCCACUUGGUGAAAUAAUCAGUGGCAACAAGGAUAAACUUAUGCCCUUUACUCGAUGGCGGAUAAAUUUGACCGAUGAGAUCAAUAGCCCAGCCCCAGAAUGGCCAAGGUUUAAUAAUAGGAUUCAUAGCUGAUGCGGGCGCCCUUUGAAUAUUUCCAAACUUCUGACAUCCUUGGCGUCCUUUGAAAUAUUUGAAGCAAUCCUCAAGAAUAGUCGGCCAGUAAUAUCCAUUCCUUCUAAUCAUCCACUUCAUUUUAAAAGUUGACUGAUGUGCUCCAUACACUCCUUCAUGGAUUUCACCCAUCAAAGUUUUGGAUUCAUCAUCACCAAGACAUUGAAGCAGAAUUCCGUCCACAGUACGAUAAUACAGUUCAUCAUCAAGGAGCACAUACUUGGUAGCUUGAAAUCUAAUAUGUCUUUCAACUUUCUUGGAGGGAUCUCUUAGGUAAUUAACAAUUUCUUUUCUCCGAUCAUCGACACUGAUUGCCGAACACCCCCAAGAUGGGUUGAUACCCCAAAGCAUGUUGAGCCAACCGAUUAGCUUCCUCAUUAUGUAAUCGGGGAAUAUGUUCUAAAUGGAAAUCCUUAAAUUCCUUUAAUAACUGUAAACAUCUUUCAUAAUAAGAUAUCUAAAUCUCACUUCGGCAUUCAUAAACCCAAGCCAACUGAUUUAUAACAAGUAUAGAAUCACCGAAGAUUUCAACUACAUCAGCAUGAACUCCCCUCAACAACUCUAAUCCUUUGACCAAAGCUUGGUACUUAGCCUGAUUAUUUAUUGAUGUGGCAACAAUCGGCAAAGAAAAUUCAUACUUCUUUCCUCGAGGAGAAAUCGACACUAUACCGAUGCCUGCCCCCUGAUGACACGUGGACCCAUCAAAGAAAAGCGCCCAAGGAGCAACUUCCAAAGAAUUCACCAAACCGCAAUGUUGAGUAACAAAAUUGGUCAUAAUUUGUCCCUUGACCGCUUUAGCCGAUUCAUAAUGUAGGUCAAACUCUGACAAUGCCAAUAUCCAUUUGUCGAUUCUACCACUCAUAAUCAGCAUUGACAACAUGUAUGUGACUACGUCAUCUUUGCAUAUAAUAAUACACUCGGCCGAUAGCAAAUAAUGCCUUAGUUUAGUACAAGAAAAGUACAGACAUAAGCAUAAUUUUUCAAUAGCCGAAUACCUCGUCUCAGCAUCUACCAAUCUCCUACUUAAAUAAUAAAUCACACGUUCUUUCCCCUCAAAUUCUUGAAUAAGAGCUGAACCGAUAACUGUAUCAUCGGUUGAUAAGUACAACGUGAAGGGCUUCCCAUGUUGUGGUGGAACCAACACUGGAGGAUUCGUCAAAUAACUUUUAAUCUCAUCUAACGCCAACUGUUGCUCUUUUCCCCACACAAACUUUUGAUCGGCUAUUUGCUUGAGCAAAGGACUGAAGGCCUUUAUCUUACCCGAUAAAUUAGAUAUAAAUCGCCUAAUAAAAUUGAUCUUGCCGAUCAGAGAUUGGAGCUCAAUCUUAUCAGCAGGAGCGACUAUCUUGUUGAUUGCAUCAAUAGACCUCCUACUAAUCUCAAUUCCUCUCUGAUGCACCAUGAAACCCAAAAACUGGCAUGCCGAUACACCAAACGCACAUUUAUUAGGAUUCAUCUUUAAACCAUGCUUCCUUGUGCACUCAAGUAUCUUCCAUAAAUUGGCUAAAUGUUUUAUGAAAUCUCCAGACUUAACCACCACAUCAUCAAUAUAAAUUUCCACCAAAGUGUCGAUGAAUUCAUGGAAGAUAAAAUUCAUGGCCCUUUGAUAAGUAGCAACAGCAUUUUUCAAACCAAAAGUCAUGACUAUCCAUUCAAAUAACCCAACAUGACCAGGACACCUAAAUGAAGUCUUGGGAAUAUCUUCUUCAGCCAUGAAUAUUUGAUUAUACCCUGCAUUGCCAUCCAUGAAGCUAAUAAUCCGAUGUUCGGCCGCAGCAUCAAUCAACAAAUCGGCAACUGGCAUUGGAUAACUAUCCAUCGGCGUAGCUUUGUUAACAUUUCUAAAGUCAAUGCACACACGAAGCUUUCCAUUCUUUUUGUAAACAGGAACAACAUUGGAAAUCCACUCAGCAUACCAACUGUCGGUGUUUUCCCCACGGGGGGUCACACCAACGAGUAAAUUUGUAUGCGUGCUCCCUUUCCCAGAUGGUGAUGCGAGAUGACACUGAGGUUUAUCCUGGUUCGGGCAAGAGAAAGCCCUACGUCCAGCGGGGGAGGAGAGUUUGUAUUAUCUCGCACCUAAGUGCUUGUACAGGGGUGAAUACAAGUGCGGUAUGAAGUGUGUGAGCUCUACUGCAUAUGAUCGUGGUGUUGUGCGUUCUAUUCCUGAGUUCCUCCUUUUAUAGCUCCAAGGAGAGACCCAGGGUACAUGUAUAGGCGCCAGAAUAAGAGUCGAUAGCAGCAUGGGGCGCUGACCUACUCGAGGCUUCCGUACCGGCAUGGCCUCGAGCCGUCCCGUCUUGAUAGCCUGGUGAUGAUUACGCGUGCCCCUGCAUUCUGCUCUGCGCGCCGUCUUGUGUUGGUUCAACGGUCGCACGCUUGUACGGUAUGGCGGCAGAUCCGGUGGGGUGGUUGUGGUGUUAUCAGUCGACGCCCAACUCGUCCCCAGGAUGGAACCCCGUUCGGUCGAGGGCCGGACGCCGUGUAAUGUGCCGAUGUCUGGAGCGCUGACCUUGGAUGUCUCGAGGGGGUCCCGAUUAGACGUUCCAUCCUUAUUUCCUGCGUCCUGACACGCCCUAGGUUGUUUGGUGGGAAAGCUGCAAAAAGAACGAUGGGACAGAUGCCUGUUCCCUAUCACGCCUCCCGUGACCUGUGUGUUAGGUGGGGAAGCGUCAGGCGCAUUUAAUGUCCCGGCUCUCGUGCGCGCGUCAGGCGGCAGACAGUGUCCUUGCGCUCGAUGCCUUCUGAUUCGCUUGAGCCUGUUUCCGUAUUCGAUGGUAGUCAGCACUCGACCCCCAAGUGGUUCGCUCGACGUUAUUUCCAUCUUCGAGGCUGCAGCCGUCGAUUGCUGCGCACAUGUGUGACCAGAACGUCGAGUUGAGGGCCUCGACUUGCGUAUGGAUAAUCUUGAUAGGUGCAUCGGUGAGGGUACCUCUUACUGAUACCCUCGACAGUAGCCCCCGAGUCUCCAUUCGAGCGCUGGCGCUCGAGUGGAGGCUUUACUUUUGCGGUCGAAUUUCUGUGGGGGCGCGCGAGCGACCCCGCGGGGGUAGCCCCCGAGCCCUCGAGGGAGUUUUUAACUCCUUCGAGGGUUAUUUUGCCUAAUUUGCAGAAACGCUGUCGACACCAGUGUUGGAAGGUUCUGAUCGGCUUUGCCUUGUGAGGAGGUCUCGACGUACUCUCGGUAGAGCGAGCGUCUUCCACCCCAGAUUGAGUUCCUAGCGGGUAAUCCAAGUGAGAACCUGUGCCCCUUUCGAGGAAGUCAGCUGUAGCCCGGAGGCGUUCUCAUAAAGCAGGGUCGACGUGGUCGGGGAUACCGGUCUCAUUCGAUAGAGUCCAGCGGCUCGAUGCCUCCCGUCGGGCGGAUUCCUCUCGACUGUCUCGACCCUACCUUGGACAUCACCAGCGAGUCUUCGAGGCGGGCCUCGAUCUUCGACUGCUCGCUGGGGAUCCCUGACUCUGGUGCUCGAGAUCGGCUGUCGAACCCUUUCGGUGGGCCAGCCAUCGACCUCUCGAGACUCUCGCGGGUACGCCCCUUGGCCUACAAGGGAAGGAGGUGGCCGUGGCGGUUCGCCUUUUUUGCCCGUUGGGCGCGCCUUUUCAGGUGGGUGACGUUACAACACUGCGUCGGCGUGGAAUUCGGAGCGCCCCGCCUGUGAGGGGAAAGAGAUUGUUAGGUGGCGCAUUUAUGGGGGGAGUUACCUUAUUUCUCGGAUCCGUCCGUUGGUGGAUUGCUGCCUAUAAAUACGCCGUGGCGCCACCGCCGUUCUUUCUUCCGCCUCCUAUCUUCACUCUUGCCUUAGCCUUUUUGCCGUCUUAGCUUUCUCGCCGUCUCACACGCCCACGCCUCCUCGAGCAGUAGCGGAUCCACCGUCCUUCCAGCCGAGAUGCCUGUGAGACUCGUUGCCGCCGACGACUGGUGCCCGUCGUCGAUGACGGAGCGCCGGUUGUUAGAGCUUGAGAGAGAGGGACUGCUGCGCCGCCGCACCUCGCUAUCGUCGCCCGAGUGGAUCGCGCCGCCGGCGAACCACAGGGAGCCCCAACCGCCCGAGGGCUACGUGGUGUCAUUCGCCAAAUUCCACCUCCACGGCCUGGGUGCUCCUCCGAGCCGCUUUAUGCGGGCACUUUGCUUCCACUACGGGGUGGAGCUCCAACACUUCUCCCCGAAUGCCAUCACCGUCACGGCGGUCUUCGCCACCGUGUGUGAGGGCUACUUGGGGAUGAUGCCGCACUGGGAGCUGUGGCUCCACCUCUACAGGGGCGAACUUUUCCACACCCCCACCGGAACCACGGGCGUAAGGAAGCCCAUGCGGGCGGGAUGCCUCAAUCUUGUGCAGAAGACGGGGAAGACGGACAGGCCGCGGGAGUACAUCACGGUAGGGUUAUCGACCAACCACGCCGGCUGGGACUCUCAGUGGUUUUACCUACAGAACGACGACAACCUCCUGCCUUCCUACUCGGGUCGUCUGAUCAUGGAGCGUCCAGCGGACUAGACAUACGGCGUCGUCCAAGCUCACCAAUCUCGGCUCGACCCCCUCCUCGACGUCCUGAAGAAGCUUCGCCAGGAGGGUUUGACCGCCGCUCUCGUCCUCUCAACCGUCCAUCACCGGAGAGUUCUCCCAUUGAUGUCUCGACCGUUGAGGAUGGACGAGAUGGGACCUGGCGUCUCAUCUCGAGACCUCGAGGCGUGCCGGAUGUCCAACGAGGCUCCGGCGGACGACGAAGUCGCGGCCCGAGUCAGGGCUGCAAUUGCCGGUGAUUUUCAGCCGGAGCAUGUUAACGGCUUCCCCAUGAGGCCAGACGCAGGCUCGAUCGAUCUGGUAUGGUUUCUUCUCGCGCGCAGCCUCGAUUCUGGGUUUCCUUUCUUCCCCCCCUUUUUUUUCUAAGUCUACCUUUGUUUUGGCAGGGACGGAUUGAUGUCCGAUCCUCGAGGCCUUCAGUAAAGGAGGACGAGGUCGAUCGCGACAAGCGGCGCCAAUCUUCCGAAAAGCUAAAAUCCGCCAAGGACUCUGCAAAGAAGGGGGAGAAGAAGAAGAACCUCGACCGCCAAGCAUUAGAGGCGCGUCGAGCCAAAUCCAGGCAGAGGGGGGAGCCUGAGGAAGAAUCCCCCAACGACGACGAUGAUGACGACGAGGACAGCGACGACUCUGAGGGGAUGGCGUCACGCCUUGACCGAAUCCUCGAGGGUCCACCUCGAGGCGACGUCGAUGCCCCCCGGACGGAGACUCCAAAGGAGGGUCCGAGCGGUUCUCACCGCCCUCGGGCCGAUAUGCCUCCUGCGCCCAAGGCUGGUCAAGUCGCGCCGCGCCCUCCCCCGGCGCUCAGGGAAAGCGGUCAUGCUAGGCCCCAGGCGACGGGGCCACUGACUCGCGGUCGUGCCGCGGCCUCCGAGAAAGGAGAGGCCGGCCGCAGGAGCGCCAGUCCCAACGCCCGCCAGGCGGGAACUGUCGCGCCAAGGCCAGCGCCUGCCUUCGAGGGGCCUGGGGCCCUGACGUGGGGUGGCUCGAGGCCCGCCGGUCGGGGCGGCGGUAGGCGAGCUGUUCUCCCUGUGGGGUAAGCUUUUUCGACAUUGUGGCUUUUGUCUUCCUGCUCCUAUGCACUUUCUCAUAUGCCGAUCUUCUCCGGCGCUCAUCUGUUUCUUUUCUCAGGCUAAAGCGGACCCUCGAGCAGGCCCAGCCGUCCAUGGCAAAGAGGCUCAAAGCGGGAGCUGCCUCCAAGGAGCCAGGUUUGUGGUUUACUUUUGGGAUUUGUGAUGUUCUUGUGCUAGCCAUCGCAGUCACCGGCCUUUAUUUUUUGUUUUGCAGGCUCCUCCGACUCCCAACCUCCAGCCGGCGUUGAGAAUGCUCCGCCUCGUCCUGUGCCUACCCCGUCGCCGCCGACGUGUGGCGAGGCACCCCAGACGCAAGUGCCAGAGGGAGCCCCCGAGCCUCCUCUAUUGGGGGUCGAGGGGGAACCCAUCACCAUCAGCGAUACAUCUGAUGGUAACGAAGCGUCUGGGGUGCCCGCCCUAUGGAGGAGGAAACGUCGACCUCCCACGUCGCGGGACGGACUCCCUGGCCCGCUGGCCUUCGAGCCCUCGAAGAGUAGAAGGAGAAAGAGAAGGAGGGGGAGGAGCGGGAGCGUGAGGCGACGCGGCCGCCACAGGAGCAGGAGCAGCAAACGCCCGAGGGGCUUCAACAACAGUAGCAGCAGAGGGAACAACAGCAGCAGCAGGAGCAGGCGGGCCAAGAGGAAAGGCCGCUCGAGCCCCUACCUCAAGGUCUGGCCCAACCGGUGCCACCGGCGCCGCAAGAGCCCGGCGAUCAGGAGGAAGAUUUGCCGGUGUACGGCCCUCCCACCCCGGCGUGGCUCCUCCCGGGGGCGCCUACCGCGAUCCGGGCAGAGUCGGGGCGAGCGGAUGGAGUGGUGGCGCUCGCCUGUAUGAUGCGCACCCCCAUCGACCCCGAGUCCGAGAUCAAGAGGACGAUCUACGGCAUGGACGGGAUCGCCCCUAGGUUCCUUCGGGAGCGUCGAGCGUGGGAGGACCGCUUUCCCUCUGAGGAGGAUGAGAUCGGAUCACCCCUGGGUUCCUCCGGGAGCGUCGAGCGUGGGAGGACUGCUUUCCCUCCGAGGAGGAUGAGAUCGGGUCGUCAGGGAGCAAGGACGGUACCUGGAAGACGGUUGACGACGACGGGCGGUUCCCAUGCCUUGUCGACCUGUUCUUGCACCACGGGGGCUCCCUCGAGACCGUUGAGAACCUUAUCCGUGGUGUCAAGGCGCGGGCUGAUCGAGAGAUGGAGAACUGGUGCCCCGAUCGGAUUCGUAUCCGGGCUUCCACCGAUCCGUCCGAGCCCAACAUCUUCCUCGACGACAAGAAGGAGGCCGAGAAGUGGGAACAUGUCGAGGAGCUCCGCCUUUGGAUGAAGCACAUGGUGGGGCUCUUGUCGGACAUCAUCAACAACGGGCUCGGGCCUGCUUAUUUUGUAAGUGUCUUUCGAUCUUUGAUCUCCAUGGAGCCCUUUGGUUUUGUUCUCUAACUGUUCGUCCACCGGCUCGCAGGAUAUGAAGGAGACCUCCCGCAUCAAGUCGAGCUUCAUCCACGCCACGCGAGGCGGCUGGGAGCAGCUCCCCGUCCUCAAGGAUCAACUCCUCGAGUCGCAGGAGAAACUCCUCAAGGCUUAUAAAGACCUCAUAGCGCUCGAGGAGGAGAAGAAGGCGAGGGAGGCUGCCUUGGUAGAGGCUCAAGAGGCCUCGAAGAAGGCAGAGGAGGAGACGACGCUGCUGCGGGAGUGGGCUCUGACGGUCGAGGAGGCUGCAUCCAGAGCCCGGGAGGAGGCCCUGUCCUACAAGAACGUUAUUGCGGACCUGGACAAGGAGAAGGGCCUUCUCAAGACCGACCUAGACUCCCUCCGAGAGUCCUUCCAGAAGAUGAAGGUGGAGCACGUGAACGGCGAGAUCGCCAGGAGCGCCGCGGAGGACGCCAAGAAGAAGGCCCUAGAAGAUCUCGAGGCGGAGCGUGCUCAAUCCCGCAAGCUCUCUGACGACGUCGAACAUCUGAAGGGAGAACUGUUGGAGAAGAGUGGGGCCAUCGCUCAGGCUGGCAAGGUGAUCGAGGAUCUCCGCGUCGCCAACACCGAGCUGGCCUGUUCCAACAGAGAGAUCGAGAGGGCCAACACCAGAUUAGUCGGCGAAAACACGGCCCUGGAGGAGAGCGUCCGCGGUACGUUUCCUUUGUCGGGUUUCUUUUUCGAGGUGUGCUCAGUUUUUCCUAAAGUUUCUUGUAUUGGCGUUUGCAGGGCUUAAGGACGAACUCCUAGCCGACCAAGUCGAGGCCCGUAAUGCCAAGACCCAGCUCGAGGCUGAGGUUGCUUUGAACCGUCGAGUGCGGAUGGCGAUAAGCGACCUCUCGGCCUCCUGGGAGGUCGAGCCUAUGGAGGAGUCGAGGGAGGACGCUUGAGGCGACGCACUGGUCAACCAGCUGUGCUACUUAGGCGCGACGCUGAGAGAUCGAGUGCGGGACGCCCUCCACAUCGGGGUGAAGCGGGCGAUGGCAGUUGUCUGCCCGGGCUUCUCCUAUGACAUGGAGGUGGUGUCCCACGGCUUCGUCACCGACAUCUCCAUGACCGACGCGGAGAACGAAGAGAGGCUCCAUGCCUUGAUCGACGACGCGGAGGCUCCUGGGGAAAGGCUGGCUAAGCUUUUUGAGCCUGAGGUGCUUCCUCCUGAGACUGGCUCGGGCGCAGGCGAGGGUGGUGAGGAUCGUGCCAUGGACUGAGGCCUGCGAGCCUGCGCGGGGUGCCUGGGGCCCCUUGUAUAAUACUUUGUCAAUAUGCUUUUUGAAUGAUACAGUAUCUUUUUGUAAUUGCUAAAUGUUUAUUUGUCUUUCCGCUCGAGGUUCUUUUAUUUCUCUUUGCGCCUACGUUUGUAUUCCUUGUUCGAUCUUUCGUAAAAAACAAACUCGAUCGUCUCAAGGGUGAGGAAGUGAGUAGAGUUUCCGUAGCCCGGGGGCGUAGGAGUUCUCAGGCUCGUUGUCCCUCGACCUUUGAGGGGCUCGAGGUGCCUUAGCUACUCGAAUCGUGUAAGGUUUACUAAGUAGGAAGAGAAAAUUUCUUGGCUUUUUCGACGUAUGGGGGGGGGUCGUCCCCCUGGUAGCCCCCGAGGGGGUGUUGACUAUGAUAGGUCAUAGUCGGCGCCCCCUUCCAAUGUCGAGAUUAUGACUUGUAAAUCCUUGGUACAAAAAGAAAUUGCUCGAGGGAAAGACUUCAUUUAUUCAUGCAUUCGUUUACAGAGUCUUGGUACAAAAUGUACGUAGGAACGUAAGUUUUGAACUUUUAGGGGUAGAAUCAACGUAGUUGUUCGAUGUUCCAUGCGUUGGUGAAGACCGCCCCCUUCUCGUCCGCUAACUUGUACGUUCCUGGCUUCAAGACCUCGGCCACUACGUACGGGCCUUCCCAUGGUGGGGUCAGCUUGUGGCGUCCUUGAUUGCUCUGCCGUUGUCGUAGGACAAGGUCACCCACGUUUAAGUCCCUCUUUCGUACGUGUUUGUCAUGGUAGCGUCGAAGCUUCUGCUGGUAUCUGGCAGAGUUAAGGAGGGACAUGUCUCGAGCCUCCUCAAGCAGGUCGACAGCACUCUCUUGAGCUUCCUUAUUUGACUGCUUGUUGUAUGCCUUGAGUCGAGGAGAUCCAUACUCGAGGUCCGUUGGGAGCACGGCCUCAGAGCCAUAGACCAUGAAGAACAGGGUGUAUUUGGUGGCCCGGCUUGGCGUCGUCCUCAGACUCCAUAAGACCGAGGAAAGUUCCUUGACCCACUUCUUGCCGAAUUUCUUCAGGCGAUUGUAGAUCCUUGGUUUGAGCCCUUGCAAGAUCAUGUCGUUGGCACGCUCGACCUGGCCGUUAGUUCGAGGGUGAGCCACCGCAGACCAGUUCACACGGAUGUGAUGCUGAUCGCAGAAGUCCAAGAACUUUUUGCCAGUGAACUAGGUGCUGUUGUCGGUGAUGAUCACGUUAGGGAUUCCGAAUCGGUGUAUGAUGUCGGUGAAGAAGAGGACGGCUUGUUCGGAGCGGAUAUUGGUGAUGGGUCGAGCCUCGAUCCAUUUGGAGAAUUUGUCAACGGCCACGAGUAAGUGGGUGUAACCCCCUUUUGCCUUUUGUAGAGGUCCUACUAAAUCGAGUCCCCAUACCGCAAAUGGCCAGGUGAUGGGGAUCAUCUGAAGAGCGUGGGCGGGCAGAUGCGUCUGUUUGGCGUAGAACUGGCACCCAUGACAUGAAUGUACAAGCUCGAUGGCAUCUGUCACGGCCGUUGGCCAGUAGAAACCUUGUCGAAAGGCGUUCCCUAUGAGGGUCCGUGGAGCUGCAUGGUGGCCGCAAGCCCCCGAGUGUAUGUCCUCGAGGAGUUUUCGGCCUUCUUCUAUGGUGAUGCAACGCUGCAGGACCCCCGUCGGGCUUCGUCGGUAUAGCUCAUUGCCUUCGCCAUAAAUCACAUAUGACUUGGCCCGUCGAGCGAUACGGCGGGCCUCAGAUCGAUCUUCUGGCAGCUCGCAGCGGAUUAGGCAGUUGAGGAACGGUGUACGCCAGUCGAACGGUCGACCGGGUCGCUGCUCUACCUCCAUCACCUCUGCUGCCAUCAGUAGUGCAUCGACGGUGUCGGUUGGCUGGGCGGGAGCGGCAUCGACGCCAGCCCCCGAGCCCAAGUCGACGGAUGGCUCGUGAAGAUCUCUUGAGAACGCAUCAGGUGGCACCGUGCCUUGAGUCGAUGCGAUCUUGGCGAGCUCGUCGGCUGCCUCGUUGUAGCGUCGGGCGACAUGGACGAGCUCGAGACCAUGGAACUUGUCCUUGAGUCGACGAACUUCUUUGCAGUACGCCUCCAUUUUUGGGUCGUGGCAGCUCGAAGUCUUCAUCACCUGGUCGAUGACGAGUUGGGAGUCGCCUCGGACGUCGAGGCGUCGGACUCCUAGCUCGAUGGCAAUCUUGAGACCGUUGACGAGGGCCUCAUAUUCCGCGACGUUAUUAGAUGCGGCAAAAUGAAUCCUGAUAACAUACCUCAUAUGGGCGCCCAAGGGUGAGAUGAACAGCAGGCCGACCCCGGCCCCUAUUUUCAUGAGUGACCCAUCAAAAUACAUCGUCCACAGCUCCGCCUGGACCUGAGUCGGGGGAAGCUGGGAGUCUGUCCAUUCCGCGAUGAAGUCUACCAGGGCCUGCGACUUGGUAGCCUUGCGAAGCGCAUAAGUGAGCGUCUCACUCAUGAGCUCGACCGACCAUUUAGCUAUUCUUCCCGUGGCCUCCUUGCUCUGGAUUAUUUCGCCUAAAGGGAAGGACGAGACCACCGUGAUGGGGUGGUCGAAGAAUGUAGUGUUGCAGCUUACGGCGGGCAAGGAUUACGGCGUAGAUCAGCUUCUGGAUUUGGGGGUAACGUGCCUUGGUCUCCGAAAGCACUUCGCUGACGAAAUAGACUGGCCUCUGGACUGGUAGCGCAUGUCCCUCCUCCUGCCUUUCGACCACCACUGCUACGCUGACGACUUGGGUCGUCGACGCAACGUAGAGGAGCAGCGGUUCUGCAGGUUGAGGUGGGACCAGGACUGGUGCUGAGGUCAGCGUCUUCUUCAGCUUUUCGAGCGCUUCCUCGGCCUCGGGGGUCCAAGAAAAGCGCUCGGCCUUCUUCAGAAGUCGAUACAACGGCAACGCCUUUUCUCCUAGUCUUGAGAUGAAACGGCUCAGAGCCGCCAGGCAUCCCGUGACUCUUUGCACACCCUUGAUGUCCCGGAUCGGCCCCAUUCUUGUGAUGGCCGAGACUUUCUCGGGGUUGGCCUCGAUGCCGCGCUGCGAAACAAUGUAGCCCAAGAGCAUGGCUCGAGGCACGCCGAAAACGCAUUUCUCGGGAUUGAGCUUGAUUUGGUUGGCGCGUAAACAGCUAAAAGCGAUCUCGAGGUCCUGGAUCAGGUCCCCUCGCCGUUUUGACUUGACGACAAUGUCGUCGACAUAGGCCUCGACUGUCGACCCUAUGUGUCCACCAAAUACGUGGAGCAUGCAGUGUUGGUAUGUAGCUCCCGCGUUUCGAAGCCCAAAUGGCAUGGUUACAUAGCAAUACAUCCCAAAAGGUGUGAUGAAAGAGGUCGCGAGCUGGUCGGACUCUUUCAUUUUUAUUUGAUGGUAACCGGAAUACGCAUCAAGGAAAGAAAGGGUUUCACAUCCCGCAGUAGAAUCGACGAUCUGAUCAAUACGUGGUAAUGGAAAAGGAACUUUUGGACAUGCUUUAUUUAGACUUGUAUAAUCGACACACAUCCUCAUUUUCCCAUUCUUUUUCUUAACUAAUACAGGGUUUGCUAACCAGUCGGGAUGAUGAACCUCCUUGAUGAAUCCGGCCGUCAAAAGCUUGUGGAUUUCCUCGCCAAUGAUCUUGCACUUCUCCUCGUCGAAUCGGCGCAACGGCUGCUUCACUGGCUUGGAACCGGCUCGAAUAUCCAAGGAGUGCUCGGCGACUUCCCUCGGUAUGCCUGGCAGGUCUUGCUCAAGGAUUUGCUCAAGCAGGACGAGGCGCUCACAGUCUUCGUCGAGCUUCAUCUUGAGCUCUCGUAGCUGUGCAAGCUGCGUAGCUUUGUCUUCCUGUGGUGGGGGGUCGACCCGCCCGUCGUUCCCAGGCGUCCUGGGGUCUUCCCGUGCUGCAGGGGCUCGACCGCCCGCUGUAGCAUCCUGCGUCUCGUCGGUAGUUUCUACUGCCCCGUCGACGUGAUAGCAUUCCCUCGUUGGGUCGUAGCUAUCAGUCUCGGAGUCGGAGUCCGGCUCGGCGGCGUAGAAGCAUCCACGUCCCUCCUCCAGCAGCCGUUGCCUGAGUGAGGUGAUCGUGUAUCGCCCGGGGCCUAGGCGGCGGAGGCCUCGCACCUGGGAGAAAUCCGGCAGUUUGGACGUCGGUCGUAGUGUCUCAGGGUCACGUGGGAGGACCAUUGGUAUCUCCACGUACGUCUGAGCAUUUGGGCAUAUUGCUCUGGCGAGCGACGCCGCGGCGUUGUCCAAUCCGAAUGGCAGUGCCCUUCUUGGAGUGAACAACCCGUGUGGAAGUAGCUCAGUAGCGGUGGGGGAGGGCGCGUGAGACGCGUUGCCUCCCGUCGUCGCGUGAUGUUGAGCCGUCGUGCCCGCGGUUCUGGCACAUGGUGUUGCCGGCUCGCAGCCCACCUCCUGCCUCGCACGAGUUGCCGGUCGUGAUGAGGCAGAGGGGCGGCGGUGGUGCUGUCCGCGCCUCUUCUUGGGUGGGGAGGCGUGGUGGCGAGGGCGUCUUGGGGCCCUCAACCGAGCUGGUGCCACGCGGGCUCCUCCCGGUCCUUUGACUGAGAGCAAGAUCAUGCCGUAGCCGGAGCCCGUAGACAUGAACUCGAGACUCCCAAACCAAAUCACCGUGGAGCGCGGAAUCGGUGAGGCAAGAGCUGCCAUCUGGAAAGGAGAGGGAAACCGAUGAAAAAACACACAGGACCCCUACCUGGCGCGCCAACUGUCGGUGUUUUCCCCAUGGGGGGUCACACCAACGAGUAAAUUUGUAUGCGUGCUCCCUUUCCCAGAUGGUGAUGCGAGAUGACACAGAGGUUUAUCCUGGUUCGGGCAAGAGAAAGCCCUACGUCCAGCGGGGGAGGAGAGUUUGUAUUAUCUCGCACCUAAGUGCUUGUACAGGGGUGAAUACAAGUGUUGACGGUCCUUAAUGCUCAUAUUUAACCAUCAAUUAAUCAUAGAAAAGGAUCCAAAUGCAACCAACACCUAGACUUAGGGUUUUAUCUGACAGAAUUCCACAAGUUUUGGUGUUUGUCUAUUUCUGCAGGGGGUUAUCAGGAAAUUUGAAAGAAAGGCCCACACGUCGGGUUUACAUAGAGAUAUUAACGCGCCGCGCAAUUUUCUAUCAUCUAGAAGACUCCAGAAGCCACGGGACCGAAGCGGAAGCCGAGAGGCCUCAGGGACAGGGCGCCCGCCCUAGUCCUGAGGGCGCCCGCCCACCUCUUUCCACCAAUCAGGGUGAAGUUCGAGGAUCAUGCUCCACCGACCUAAUACUUCAAGGAAAACCACACGAUCAAUGUCGGUUUGAUCCGACGACCCAGAUUCACUUGAAGGGACUAUAAAACCAGACCCCCCUGGCCCCUGGAGAUCAUACCUCUUCUACAGAAUCAAAGUUAGGGUUUCAAUUCUUCAUCCAAGUAGAGAGGAUCCCUCUAGUUCUUCUAGUUCUACCUCUAGUUCAUCUAGAUCUAGUUCUAGUUCAUAUAGUUCUAGUUCUAGUUCUUCUAGUUCUAGUUCUAGUUAGUUCUAGUUGUAAUCUAGAAAAUAGGGAGAGAGAAGAGGAGAGCGGAGGAGGAGCCGGAUCUGUCGGAUCUUCCUUAACAUUAUACUUUUGCAGCAUCUGGUUCGUUCUUCAUCGUUCUCCAGGUUCUUCAAUUCAUAAUUCCUGAGUUCUUUAAUUACUUUUAUUUACAUUCAAGUUAUUUAUUGGAUUCCUGCUUGCAUCAAGUGCUCUAGUCUUUAUAACGCUAGAGUAGUAAUUAAUAGAUUACACGUGGUGUUUAGUCUUGCAAUUACCUGGAAUUGCACCCAAUCCUACGGAUUGUUGUGGUAGCCUUAGGGUAGUGACAGCCCUAACGGUCGACGUAUUCCACCACGUUCGGAUCGGUGUUUGUAGGACCGUAGUCGGAGCUUCCUAGCCCCCUUCUCAUCUCUUUCUGUGGUUAGUGUUCUGAUGUCCCGAAAUAGAUAAUCUUGAAGUAAUUCUUGAUUCUUAGAUCAAUUAGAGAACUCUCAGGAAACUUCCUCUCUUCCCACCAAAAAUAAUUAUAUAGUUAUCCUUGGGCGAUCUUGGAUCGUAAUUAGUACACUCACGUUCCCUGUGGAAAAUCGAUACUCUGGAAUACUCCCGGGUGAAGGCUACAUCGGUAUCCGUGCGCUUGCGGAUUUUUCUGUUUGCGUUUAAAAUACCCAACAAGCUUUCUGGCGUCGUUGCCGGGGAACGGUAGCUGUGCUAGUUUCGAACCAAGUCGUCCGUGUAUCCUUUUUCUUUUCCUUUUAUACCACACUCACCUUACCAUUUUCACCACACCACAUGGAUUUCACUCUAAGCAUUAAUGAGCAUGGAAUUUAUUUCAUAGCCACUUCACUUACUCCAUGCUCAUAUGCAACAUCUUCACAAUCCAUUGGUCUCUCCAAUAUCACCACAUUCAAGAUCUCCAACCCCCUCUUCCUUUCUAUUUAUAAAAACUUUAAAAGGGUGGUUGUCGAUGCAUAUGUCUAUAAUAUAUAUUGCAGAUCUCGUUGAGUUGAUCUUGAUAUAGGUCAGCGUUGGAGCGGAAACCACUUCGCAGACAUAAAUUAAUGGUUUCCCAAGGACAAGCUUAGUGUCCUAAAAUAAGCACUGAUCAGAUCGUAACAUGAGCUUUUAAUUAUUUGCAAUAUUACCUUGUGUGUUAAGCAUAUAAGGAUAAUUGUAAAAACAUUCCUUCGGGUAUUCUUGUCACUAACCUUUCUAGGAUUGGAGCAAGAAGAUCGAAUGAAUGACAAGCACAAGGUAUGUCCAACCAAUCAUCAUACAACAUUGAAUUAAAUUCAUCCAAACUUGAAUUUUGCAAAAUUCAAGCUUGGGGGAGUACUUUACAUAAAAACAUCCUUUGCCAUGUUGCUAUGUUGGUUGUCCCUACCUUUGAGACAUGCUCAAUUUGUUAAAUACUAGUCACACUACUUCAUCUCCACUUGAGUAGAUCUCUAUAAAUGCUUUCAUGCUACCUUUAUUUGCUUUAGUAUAUGUCUAGGUUUGGAGUAGUUUCAUUUAUCUCUUAAUUAAGCAAGGUGCUUAGUUUAGGAAAGAUGAUCUUACUUCCAAAGGAUUUUAAAUUAAGCAUGAUGCUUAGGUUAAAAUUCCCUCCUAAAUCAAAUUAGACAUGGUGUCUAGGUUGAUCUUUGAGCCGAUAGUAUGCUAUAGUAGAUAUUGGAUAUUUUGUUGGACUAACCCCUACAGGAAAACUUUCAAUAUCGACCUGGGAAGUCCUGAGAUAAACUCACAUUGGAGAUAAAGAGAGAGACACAUGAAGUUUAACAAUUUACACAAGGAAGGCACAAGAGAUGAUCGAUGGAGGGUGCCACAAACACGAUGCACAACCGCUAAGAGAGGAAAGCUUCCACAAGGUGAUAUUGUACCAUCACUCUUCAAGUAAGGUAACAUUUUAAGGUACUUGACUAUCACUUCUAUAAGCUUCUCCUUUGUUCUAGUGUUCACAUGAAUAAAAGAGACAAACAUGUAUGAUUUACAACUCUAGAUUAACCAACACAAUUGAUUCAAUAUGUUUAGUCCUUCCACCUUUGUGAUUCCACACUCCUAAUCAUAUUAGCUAAAAUGUUGCACACUCAAUCUUUGAAAGAUAUAAACAAAACAUAAAUAUAGAUAGAUUAUCUUUCCAUAAGGUUGAGCAAUCUGAUCUAACAAAUGUUUUAAAUGUUACACUCAUGGUCUUAUUAUCCAUCAACUUUGUCUUUCUCACUAUGCUUAAGGUUAGAGAGAACAAAUACACUUUUGGUUCUGUUGGUGUUUUCCACCAACAGGGCCCAUGCACUUGAUCUCUGCCUUGUCUCUAUGAGCAGGUACACUUUGAGCAAAAUAUGAAGGACUUUUAUAACUCCUAGACUCCACCAAGUGAAGAACCUAGAUCUACGAGCACAAACACACUGGAGAUACUAGACACUCAGGCAAUCACUGCCCUGAGAUGCUUGAGGAUGUAACUACUGGAGUAACCCUGUUGUGGAAGUAAUUACUGACCUUCUGCCGGUUAAGAGAUACAAUCCAGGACAUCCCGUCAUCCCGAUCUCCAUCGGCAUGGUGGACUUCCCAGAAGCACUCUGCGACUUUGGCUCUAGCGUCAACAUUAUGCCCAGGGUACUCUAAGAAAAAUUCUUUACACAUCCUUUAUCAGAAACAACCAUGGGUUUGCAGCUUGCAGACCGUACACUAAGUUUCCCAAAAGGAAUAUUGAAGAACCUCUGUAUACGAGUUGGUACCUUGUACGCCCCAGCAGACUUCAUGGUGAUAGAGACUGGUACUAAUGAGAGGGCACCCAUCCUAGGGAGGCCAUUCCUGAACACCUCAGGAGCUGUCAUCUACGCUAGUGCUGCCAAGAUCAGUUUCUACAUCAAGGGGAGGAAGGAGACGUUUUCCUUCAAGAACAAGACUACACAAAUCUUAGAGCAAUCCUGACAUGAAACAAGGAAAGGACCAACAGGAGGAACAAGAACAAGCAAAUGUGGACCGAGUCAGCUAAGAUGGUCACUGUAGUUCAAGGAGGUCAAGAUCAUCGACUUAAGUCACCAUUCCUGACCAAAAAGGAUGACCCAGCUCCUGCAUGGAGCCAUGCAUCUACAACCAAAAUACAUUCAGCUCCAGAUGAUUUGAAGGUUAUUAUCAUGGGAGAAGACGAGUACAAUCCACCCAUCAUCCUUGGAAGACCGUUCCUCAACACCGUUAAAGCAAUCAUCUACAUUGGAACCGGAGAAGUCCACAUGCACUUCCCCUCUGAGAAGGUACGCCACUAUUUUACUGACCCUAACCAUAUAGUUGAAGACUCUAAGCAGGUCAGGACAAGAAGAAGACGACGCAACCGCAAUCAGAGAAGGCAAAUCAUCAAGGACGGAUGGGUAGACUAUGAAGGAGAAGUUGUAAGGUCUGAAGACAUACAACUUGAAUAGAACUGUCCUGAGGAGACCGUAGCACCGAGUCAGGUGUGGAGAGAGAAGAUAGUUAUACAUGAAGACCAGGCGCUGCCGGAACCACCGACUACGCCAUCUAGCGAAUCCCAGGACGAAUGAGAAAACGGAGAGUCCCGUUCGGAGGAUUUAAAAACACCGAACGCCUUGCCAAGAGGUAAACUUAGUAGUUAUCUUUUCCUUUCAAUUAUUUUAAAAUAGUUUACUUAGUUAGUCAGGUUUAUAUCAUCUUGAAAAGAAAAUAAAAAUGUUAAAAAUAGUAAGCCCCAUGUGAGUAUGCUCAUGGCAUAAAACCCAUAAGUACAUUCACUGUGGUGGCAUAAAAAUAAAAUAAAUAUAUUCCUGUCCUAUAAAAAUGAAAAUAUAAAAAUAAAUUUAUGAUCCUACUAAAGAGAGUAACAUUUAUUGAGGAGGCUCAACAUGAUAAAGGCUAGGUAUUUACGCUAACCCUUAACCAGUUCCACAAAGCUUUGUUGUCUAUUUGAGCUCCACAGAAUUCAAGGAUCAAAGAAGACUACCAGACGGAGGACAUCCUACUCACUGUCAAGGUGCUGCCGACAUUCAAAUACACCUCCGCCACUUGCUAGCUACAUCAGAAGAAAUUAUGUCAAAAUCCAGCUUGGGGAAGAGCACCCUCAUUUAUCCAGCUAAGUAUUCUACUCACGUUUAUACUUUACUCUAAUAAUAAAAAGAUGCAUAAUCAUAAAAACCCAAAUAAAGAUUUUGUGCUUAUAUAUAUAUAUCUUUGCUUAGCUUGCUAAAUAAAUAAAUAAAUAAAGUUUGCUAUGAACCCUCAUGAUAAGCUCUCACAUGGAAAGAUGAAUAGUUGCUCUGCCAUGACUAGUUCUCAAAAUUGAAAUCUCUCUCAAGUUUAGGCAUCACUGUUAUUAAUUAAGAUUUGCUCUAAACCUAAACUUGUGGGAAGAGUACUUGAUCUAAAGUCUAAGUCGUUAACGGAUAUGAUAUGGGAAGGUUGAGCUGCUGUUUAUCUAUUCCUAGAGAUGCUAGAAUUUUGGAGAAUUUUAUCUUUGAAAAUCUUUAAAAUGUUGCAUGAUGAGUUCCUGUAUAAUGAGAGUUUAAAUUCCUACCAUAGCCAUAUAUACAUCCUUGCUAGACUUUGAGCCACACAUUUACUUUUUACUGCUUAUGAGCAUUGAGUGUGGUCAAGCUGUGUAGACCCUUAGGAGCUUGUCAUGUGGUUAAAAUCAAGAUUCACUUGCACGUUCACUCACACAUGCUACUUCUACUCCAGAAGUACCAUCCACAUAUAUCCAUCCAUUUCCAUCUCCAGAACCACCCAAAAAUAUUCUACUCCUAAUCCGGGAGAGAAUAGCCAAAAACAUUCUCCUAUUUCUGUUUUUCCCUGUGAAAAAAAAAUGCUCAAGUUAUCUUGGUUACUACCACUUGCUACAUUAUUUCAAGAGAUGAGUGCUCUAAAAAAAACAAAAAAAAAAGAGAAAAAAAAGAUACGAGGAAAUAAAAAGGGGCAAGUGCCCGGAACCUCGAAAGAAAAGAAAAAGUGAGACGAGAGGUAAAAAUGGACAAGUGUCCGACAGUAGAAUUAGGGGUACAAGAUACCCACUUGAGAGAAAAGAAAAAAAAAAUAUAGAGCAUCUCAUUCUCUUCAAAAAGUUUCAAAAGUGCAAGAAAGGUAUGUAUCCCCUCAAAAGAGCAUAAGUAGAAUUAGACUUUCACCAUUGUUAUCACCAUCAUCACCGUACACCAUUCAUUCGCCACACAUGCACAUCUUGAUUUGACUUAUUGACUUGUUCUUUUGGAUCCAUGGUUUGACUAUGCAAUAAAUGUCUUGUAAGUAUGUAUUAGCUGUCUCCCACCUAUGAGCUCCAGAUAUCAAAAGCCUUAUUAGAGUAGGGUGAGAGAGAAGGCAAUGUCACUAUGCCUUAUACCACAAAUACCACAUACUUUGAGAGAAGGCAUAUACCAUUACUACCUUGGUAAGGAUCCAGAAAUACCACAAAAGAGAGACUAGAGAGAGUCAUACAAGGAAUCUCUGAGUUUUAUUUGAAUAUCUGCAAAAACUCCAGAGCUAUAGUUAAUCGAAGAACAAGAGACAUGGUGUUUGACUAGACUGUUCUAUCUUUUAACUACUCAAGACAGAAGUGACGGUUACAAGUCCCAUGGUGAAAGGCAAAUGAGUAAGUUUUAAGUCUUAACAGUUUACUCUAACCAGAGAUGAGAUCUUGUUUAAACGCAUGUGUAUCUUUAAGUUAUGAAACCACUGCAGAAACUCUUGAGUUCAUCUUUGCUCAGGGACGAGCAAAGGUUAAGCUUGGGGGAGCUUGUUGACGGUCCUUAAUGCUCAUAUUUAACCAUCAAUUAAUCAUAGAAAAGGAUCCAAAUGCAACCAACACCUAGACUUAGGGUUUUAUCUGACAGAAUUCCACAAGUUUUGGUGUUUGUCUAUUUCUGCAGGGGGUUAUCAGGAAAUAUGAAAGAAAGGCCCACACGUCGGGUUUACAUAGAGAUAUUAACGUGCCGCACAAUUUUCUAUCAUCUAGAAGACUCCAGAAGCCACGGGACCGAAGCGGAAGCCGAGAGGCCUCAGGGACAGGGCGCCCGCCCUAGUCCUGAGGGCGCCCGCCCACCUCUUUCCACCAAUCAGGGUGAAGUUCGAGGAUCAUGCUCCACCGACCUAAUACUUCAAGGAAAACCACACGAUCAAUGUCGGUUUGAUCCGACGGCCCAGAUUCACUUGAAGGGACUAUAAAACCAGACCCCCUGGCCCCUGGAGAUCAUACCUCUUCUACAGAAUCAAAGUUAGGGUUUCAAUUCUUCAUCCAAGUAGAGAGGAUCCCUCUAGUUCUUCUAGUUCUACCUCUAGUUCAUCUAGAUCUAGUUCUAGUUCAUAUAGUUCUAGUUCUAGUUCUUCUAGUUCUAGUUCUAGUUAGUUCUAGUUGUAAUCUAGAAAAUAGGGAGAGAGAAGAGGAGAGCGGAGGAGGAGCCGGAUCUGUCGGAUCUUCCUUAACAUUAUACUUUUGCAGCAUCUGGUUCGUUCUUCAUCGUUCUCCAGGUUCUUCAAUUCAUAAUUCCUGAGUUCUUUAAUUACUUUUAUUUACAUUCAAGUUAUUUAUUGGAUUCCUGCUUGCAUCAAGUGCUCUAGUCUUUAUAACGCUAGAGUAGUAAUUAAUAGAUUAGACGUGGUGUUUAGUCUUGCAAUUACCUGGAAUUGCACCCAAUCCUGCGGAUUGUUGUGGUAGCCUUAGGGUAGUGACAGCCCUAACGGUCGACGUAUUCCACCACGUUCGGAUCGGUGUUUGUAGGACCGUAGUCGGAGCUUCCUAGCCCCCUUCUCAUCUCUUUCUGUGGUUAGUGUUCUGAUGUCCCGAAAUAGAUAAUCUUGAAGUAAUUCUUGAUUCUUAGAUCAAUUAGAGAACUCUCAGGAAACUUCCUCUCUUCCCACCAAAAAUAAUUAUAUAGUUAUCCUUGGGCGAUCUUGGAUCGUAAUUAGUACACUCACGUUCCCUGUGGAAAAUCGAUACUCUGGAAUACUCCCGGGUGAAGGCUACAUCGGUAUCCGUGCGCUUGCGGAUUUUUCUGUUUGCGUUUAAAAUACCCAACAACAAGUGCGGUAUGAAGUGUGUGAGCUCUACUGCGUAUGAUCAUGGUGUUGUGCAUUCUAUUCCUGAGUCCCUCCUUUUAUAGCUCCAAGGAGAGACCCAGGGUACAUGUAUAGGCGCCAGAAUAAGAAUCGAUAGCAGCAUGGGGCGCUGACCUACUCGAGGCUUCCGUACCGGCAUGGCCUCGAGCCGUCCCGUCUUGAUAGCCUGGUGAUGAUUACGCAUGCCCCUGCAUUCUGCUAUGCGCGCCGUCUUGUGUUGGCUCAACGGUCGCACGCUUGUACGGUAUGGCGGCAGAUCCGGCGGGGUGGUUGUGGUGUUAUCUGUCGACGCCCAAUUCGUCCCCAGGAUGGAACCCCGUUCGGUCGAGGGCCGGACGCGGUGUAAUGUGCCGAUGUCUGGAGCGCUGACCUUGGAUGUCUCGAGGGGGUCCCGAUUAGACGUUCCAUCCUUGUUUCCUGCGUCCUGACACGCCCUGGGUCGUUUGGUGGGAAAGCUGCAAACAGAACGAUGGGACAGAUGCCUUUCCCUAUCACGCCUCCCGUGACCUGUGUGUUAGGUGGGGAAGCGUCAGGCGCAUUUAAUGUCCCGGCUCUCGUGCGCGCGUCAGGCGGCGGACAGUGUCCUUGCGCUCGACGCCUUCUGAUUCGCUCGAGCCUAUUUCCGUAUUCGAUGGUAGUCAGCACUCAACCCCCAAGUGGUUCGCUCGACGUUAUUUCCGUCUUCGAGGCUGCAGCCGUCGAUUGCUGCGCACAUGUGUGACCAGAACGUCGAGUUGAGGGCCUCGACUUGCGUAUGGAUAAUCUUGCUAGGUGCAUCGGUGAGGGUACCCCUUACUGAUACCCUCGACACCAACACUGUCGAAUAAACUUAGCUUCGAUGAGUUUGGUUAUUUCAACCUUAAUAUCAGGAAGAAUAUUAGAGUUACAUCGACGCGCUGGUUGCUAAUAUGGCUGAAAUCGAGACUAAAUAGGCAACUGAUGCUCGACAAUCGAUCGGUCUAAUCUAGGCAUCUCGGUAUAAUCCCAAGCAAAGCAAUCUUUAUAUUCCUUCAAUAAAUCGAUUAAUUGCCGUUUACAUUCAGAAUCUAGCUUAGCACUAAUAAAAGUAGGUCUUGGUCUAUCACCACUUCCUAUAUCUACUUCUAUUAAAUCAUCAGUCGAUGUAAAUCCCUGUCCUAACUUUCCAUCAUCGGCGAACCUAUCCAUUAAAACUCUUCAUCAGAACCGACUGCUUGGAUCGGUGGAAUCUCAUAAUCGGCAACUUUGAGGAAAUCUUUCUCCUAAGCUUCUCCCGAUAUACAUCUAGUUCACUCAUAAGUAUCUGAUUCUGCAGAUGCAAUGUUAUAGGAAGAAUCUCCAAGAACAACUUCAAUUUUGUCGCCUACCCAUUGAACAAGGCAUUGAUGCAUUAUAGAAGGAAUGCAACAGUUGGCAUGAAUCCAAUCUCUCCCCAAUAGCAAAUUGUACGCACCUUUUCCAUUGAUGACAAAGAAAGUCGUCGGCAUGGUCUUGUUGCCGAUAGUCAAUUCAACGCACACAACCCCUUUAGCUGGAGACACAUUACCUUCAAAAUCUUUCAACAUCAUAUCGGUCUUGGUUAAAUCCUGAUCUCCUUUACCAAGCUUAUGAUACAUCACAUAAGGCAUAAUGCUCCAUCAAUAAGUAUUUUCAAAACUGGCUGCCCAUCAACUCUGGUUUUAACAAACAAAGCUUUAAGAUGUUGCCUUUCAUCAUCAGAAGAUUUCUCAAAAAUAGCUGUCAUUGGAUCAAGUGUCAGCUGAGCUAUUUGAUCAGGGAGACUAAUUUCUUCUUCAUCACUAUAGGGUGCAAGAAACUUCAUCGACAACAUGAACACCAUGUUGACAUCUGCCGAUGGUCCUUUCCCUUUGCGGUCUAACUGCUGCCGAUCUUCAGAUUUAGAAGAAUUUAACUCUCUGUAUAAAUCUUCCUGACGCUCCCGCUGCAUCCUCCUCCGCUGCGUCCUUGUCAAUCCAUCUAGACACCAUCGGGGAAGCUUUGUCCUCCAAACUGGCUGAUAACGAAUUUCCUUUGAUUCCACACAAUGAAUGUUUGAAUCUCUACAAAAUAUGAAUUCAUCGGGAACUCGUGCAUUUGCUAUUUCUUCAAGUUCUUCCUGAUUCCUUAGGAAAUGACCAACACGUUCACCAAGACUGUCAUGCACACUAAGCCUGCCCCCUAGCCGAUCGUGAACUGAUGUUCUCCCCCUGAUUGGCUCUGAAACGUCGAUCAUUGUUUUGGAAUCUCCGAUCUGACCGAUCGUACCGAUGAUAACCAUUGCACUCAGGACAGUCUCGAACAGUCGGCAAUUUGAUAUUUUGUUCCCAGCAAUGACAGUCUUCUCGUUGCUUCUCUUCUUGUUGAUGCCGAUACCGAUUCCAAUGAUCUUUAUACCGAUUCCAUUCUUCUCGUUGCUUCUCUUCUUGUUGAUGCCGAUACCGAUCCUCACACUGCUGCCAUGUUUCUCGAUGCCGCCUAUGAGUAAUUACAACAUCAAAGCAGGGAGAGCAUCCAGAGCUCCUAUCCUCCCUUACCAAACCUUUUCCUUUGGCAUCAUUAGUAGUUACUUGAUGCUAGGGAUCCACCGAUGCGUUCUUCUCAGCCGUCUCCGAUGUUAAGACUUUGGUCUUACCUUUGGCAUCUAACAUGUUUGUAGGGAAAGGAUGCUGAUCAAUCUUCAUCAGCUUCUAAGUUUUGGAACUAUCAAACUUGAUUCUUCUAGAUUCUAUAGCUGAUUGCAAUUGCUGCCUAAAUACUUUGCAUUCAUUGGUGCUAUGUGAGGUUGCAUUGCGCCAUUUGCAAUACAUGAUUUUCUUUAGCUCCUCUACCGAUGGAAUUACAUGAUUAGGUGACAAUUUAAUCUGUCCUUCUUGAAGCAAGAAAUCAAAUAUCCUAUCGGCUUUGGUGAUAUCGAAAGAAAUCUUUUCUGGUUCUUUCUGGCCAAAAGGACAAGACAUCGGCUUUUUGUUUUUUACCCACUCUACCAAGGCGAUGACUGGUUCUUCAUCAGAAUCAGAACUCCCUGCCUCAUCAACAAAUGAUUCUUUCUUAUUCUAAGCCUUUCUCGGUUCAAAAGACUUAAUAUCUUGAUCAGAAAUCCUUUGCACCGAAUGACUUAAACUUUCAAACUCUUGAGAAGCAUAUUUAUCUUUGAUGUGUGGCAACAAUCCCUGAAAAGCCAAAUCAGCUAACUGCCGAUCAUCCAGAACCAGACUAUAACAUUUGUUCUUUACAUCUCGCAGCCUCUGCACAAAGCUUUCCACCGAUUCAUCAUUACGUUGUCUCAAUCUUACUAAAUCGGUAAGCUUCUUCUCAUGAACUCCAUAAAAGAAGUAUUUAUGAAACUGCUUCUCUAGAUCGGCCAAAGUAAUGACUGAGUUUGGAGGCAAUGAAAUAAACCAGGUAAAAGCCGAUCCUGACAAAGAAGAUGAAAAUAAACAAACUCUCAAUUCAUCUCAGUUAGUAGUUUCUCCACAUUGAAUGAUAAACUGUUUGACGUGUUCCAUGGUCGAUGUAUCAUCUUGUCCAGAGAACUUAGUAAAAUCUAGCACCUUGUACCGAUUUGGGAGUGGAAUUAAAUCAUAGGCAGGAGGAUACGGUGUCCGAUAAGAAUAAGUGUUAACCUUGGGUUUUAUCCCAAACUGAUCCCUCAUAAACUCUGCUAUCUUAUCGUCCCAAUAGGCAUCGGCAUCUUGCCGAUGUACGGGUUGAGCUUCUGGCACUUGCUGAUAGGCUUCAAUGUGUCACUGGGGUACACGGUCUACAGGAAACAUCACAUUAGCCAUAGCUUGCUGCCCACCGAUCUGUUGAGCAAGAUUCAUUGGCUGAUUUGCCGGCAUCUGAUUCUGAAAACCAACCAGCAUUUGACCUUGUUGGAAUCCUCCAGCCUGAUGAUUCUGCUGUGUUGCAUGCGGGAAGAUUAACUGUCCUAUCCAACCACUGUUAGUGUUCAUUGGCCCAAAAUUUGCCGAUGGCUGGUAAUUGGUUGUCAUUGCUAGAUUAACAUAACCUGCCUGAGACAUCAACCUUUACUGUGUCAGCAAUGGAUUUGCCGAUGAAUUUGCAUUAGGCGUCUGGAAUGUGGGCGCCUAAAAAUUCCCCGUAACUAGCCUCGCAGUGGUUGUUGUAGAAUACUGAGGAAUUUGAGUCAUCGGCGAGACUGGAGGCACCGAUGUUAUGGGAGCUUUCCGUGCUAAGUGAGUUGCCUGAGAGGUUCCAGAACUAUUUGCAAAAAACUCUGGAGGCAUACCAUAUCCCCACCAGUUGGGAGGAACCUAGCAAUUCUGAAAUACAGACCCUGACAUUGCCGAUGCCGAUAGAUCUGUGUUGAGCUGAACCCGUCCCCCUGAGGUCAUUGGAUCAGAUCUCAUCGGUGUAGAUUGCUCAUUAGUUAAUCCCAAUGUGCUCGGAGGAGAAGUAGCUUUUGUACCCACAACGGCUAGAGGAGCCGAUGGAGCUGCGACCGAUGACAAUCCUAGGUGAUGAUUGGCCGGGCCAGCAUAAAGUGGUGGUGUCUGUCCUUCUUUAAAAGUUCGAACCACAACAAUGUAAACAGUAUUGGACAACACAUUGGAGUGAUUAAUCAAAGCAUGAUUAAUAGCAGUUGUUGGGCAUUCUUAACGUCAUUACCAAAAGUAGACUUAGUUUUCUAAUUAUGAUAACGGCGCCAAAAAUGCCGAACCUAUCCCUCAUGCCACUUAAGCCAAUUUGUCAUCCCUAGCAUGACAUGAGAGACGCGGUAUUGAAAUAUGCAAUUGCUCUUCUGAAUGAAUAAUAAAUGAGAUCUGCAAGCGCACAGAUUAAUACCGUAUGUAGCAUUUUAACUGGGAAGUAUUCUAGGUAUCGUUAUUUAUAUUUUUACCACUGGGAAGGGAUCGCUAAUCAUCAAUGUUGAUUAUGGAAUGGAAUAUAGAAUUGAGUAUAUAUCAUUGUAUUUGUAAUAGAGAGCAUUAUCUAUCUCUUUCAUACAGGGAUAAAUGUCACAUAAAAUAUAGAUAAAGUAUGAAUGGUGACAAAGAUAAUUAAUCUGAUCAGCAUAACUAGCGACAUAUAAUAAUGAUAAGCACCUCAAUAGAUAUUCUAGCAAGUCAUUAGCAUGGAAUUAGGAUGAACUACAAGAAUAUUUCCUAAGUUAUUCUUAACUAUAAAGUCUAGCAUAUCAUAGUUAGUGCAAUUAUACUUGGCAAUCAUUGCGAGACAGGACUACGCCCAUGCAUAGUGAUAUUAUCAAGGAAAAUGAGAAACAUAGCAAUCACUCCCCUAUAAUAAUGUUGUUCUGCCUGCCCUAUACAUGAGAGGGGGACUAUAUAAGAAUCAAAGGAGCUGUCACUACCACGAACUACCCUGCGAUCCCGCAUAUAGGGUACAAUCGUAGAUAAAUACGGUAUAGGCACCACGCCUACACAAUACUUAUCAUCUACCCACUAUACACAUGGAUAAACGCUAUACGAUCCUAAACAUGUAUAUAAUUCUAAUCUAACUAAGCCAAGCAUAUAACUAUGAUAAACUAAGAACAAUAUAAUUGCAAAUAUAAACAAGUAGAGCAAAGUCAUAAUCAAUAUAUUGAAGUAGAACAAAGUCAUAUCCAUAAUAUUGAAGAACAAUGAUGAACAAAUAAAGGACAGUAGAGGAAUUACCAAGAAUCCUCUUGACAGAUCUAGAAACCAAUCGAAGAUUGACUCCUUCUAGUUCUAAUCCUAUGUAGCUAUGCUAAACUAGAGAUCUAAUGAUGUGGUGGCUCUAGGGCUUGAUCAGAGGCUUCUUCUCUCGAGAUGGAUAAAUGAACUAGGGUUCAGAGGUCCUCUCCUCCAGGGGCCAGGGGGUCUGCUUAUAUAGUCCUUCCAAUUGAAUGUGGGCCGUCGGAUCAAACCGACAUUAAUCGCACGGUUUUCCUUAAUCCCUUAGGUCGUUGGAGCAUGAUCCGCGAGGCAGAGCCUGAUUGGCUCUCAGGUCAGGGCGGGCGCCCAAGGGAGGAGGGCGGGCGCCCUGCCCCCGGGUCCGCUCGGUCUCCCGCUCAUUCCCGUUGCUUCUGAACUCUUCUAGAUGUUAGAUAAUUGCGCCGCACGUUAAUAUCUCUAUGUAAACCCGACGUGUGGGCCUUUCCUCCAUAUUUCCUGAUAACCCCCUGCAGAAAUAGACAAACACCAAAACUCGUGGAAUUCUGUCAGAUAAAACACUAAGUCUAGGUGUCGGUUGCAUAUGGAUUCUUUUCUUUGUUUAUUUGUUGAUUAUAUUUGAUACUUAAGGACCGUCAACAAACUCCCCCAAGCAUACCUCUUGCUCGUCCCUGAGCAAGGAUAGACUCAGUGAUGGAUCAGAAGCUGCUGUAAUGCCUUUAAAAGUUGACGGUACACAUGCUUUCAAAUGAGGUCUCAUCUCUGAGUUAGAGUAAACUGUCAAGACUUAAAAUUUACUCAUUUUACCUUUUACCAUGGGACUUGUAACCGUCACUUCUGUCUUGAGGAGUUAAAAGAUAGAACGGUCUAGUCAAGCGCCAUGUAUCUUAUUCUUGAUCAGCUAUAGCUCUGGAGUUUUUGCAGAUUUUCAAAUAAAACUCAAAGAUUCCUUGUAUGACUCUCUCAGAUCUCUCUUUUGUGGUAUUUCUGGAUCCUUACCAAGGCAGUGAUGGUAUAUGCCUUCUCUCAAAGUAUGUAGUAUUUGUGGUAUGAAGCAUAGUAAACUUGCCUUCACUCUCACGCUACUUUAAUAAGACUUUUGAUAUCUGGAGCUCAUAGGUGGAAGAUAAAGUAUACAUACUUACAAGACAUUUAUUGCAUAGUCAAACCAUGGAUCCAGAGAAACAAGUCAAUAAGUCAAAUCAAGAUGUGCAUGUGUGGCGAAUGAAUGGUGUAUGGUGAUGAUGGUGAUAACAAUGGUGAAAGUCUAAUUCUACUUUUGCUCUUUUGAGGGGAUACAUACCUUUCUUGCUCUUUGAAACUUUUGAGGAGAAUGAGAUGCUCUACAUUUUCUUUUUCUUUCCUCUCAGGUGGGUACCUUGUACCCCUAAUUCUACUGUCGGACACUUGUCCAUUUUUACCUCUCGUCUUACUUUUUCUUUUCUUUCGAGGUUCCGGGCACUUGCCCCUUUUUAUUUCCUCGUAUCCUUUCUUUUUUUCUUUUUUUUAGAGCACUCAUCUCCUGAAAUAAUAUAGCAAGUGGUAGUAACCAAGAUAUCUUGAGCAUUUAUUUCAAAGGGAAAAACAGGAAUAGGAGAAUGUUUUUGGAUAUUCUCUCCCGGAUUAGGAGUAGAAUACUUUUGGGUGGUUCUAGAGAUGGAAAUGGGUGGAUAUAUGUGGACCGCAUGACAAGCUCCUAAGGGUCUACACAGCUUGACCACACUCAAUGCUCAUAAGUAGUAAAAAGUAAAUGUGUGGCUCAAAGUCUAGCAAGCAUGUAUAUAUGGUUGUGGUAGGAAUUUAAACUCUCAUCAUACAGGAACUCAUCAUGUGAUAUUUUAAAGAUUUUCAAAGAUAAAAUUCUCCAGAUUUCUAGCAUCUCUAUGAACAGAUAAACAGCAGCUCAACCUUCUCAUAUCAUAUCCGUUAACAACUUAGACUUUAGAUCAAGUUCUCUUCCCACAAGUUUAGGUUUAGAGCAAGAUUUAAAUUAUAACAGUUACGUCUAAACUAGAGAGAGAACUCAAAUUUGAAAAUUAGGCAAAGCAACUAUUCAUCAUAUCCAUGCUAGAGUUUUAUUAAGAUUUAGUUUAGCAUAGCCACUUAUUUAUUUAUUAAGCACACUAAGCAAAAUAUAUAUAUAAGCAAAAAAUCUUUAUUUGGUUUUUCAUGGUUAUGUAUAUUUUUUUAGUAUAGUAUAAGUAUAAAUAUAGACAGAAAUACUUAGCAGGAUAAAUCGGGGUGCUCUCCGCCAAGUUGGAUUUUGACGUAAUUUCUUCUGAUGUAGCUAGCAGGUGGUGGAGGUGUAUUUGAAAGUCGGCAGGACCCUGACAGCGAUUAGAUUGUCCUCCGUCUGCUAGUCUUCUUGAUUCUUGAAUUCUGUGGAGCUCAAAUAGACAACAAAGCUUUGUGGAACUGAUUAGGUGUUAGCAUAUAUAUCUCACCUUUAUCAUGUUGAGCCUCCUCAAUAAUUGCUACUUCCUUUGGUAGGAUCACAAUUUUAUUUUUAUAUUUUCAUUUUUUAUAGAAUAGAAGAAUAUUUUUAUUUUAUUAUUUUUUCUGCCACCACAGUGAAUGUACUUAUGGGUUUUAUGCCACUUGUAUACUCACAUGGGGCUUACUGGUUUUAACAUUUUUUUAUUUUUCUUUUUAAGAUGAUAUGAACCUAAUUAACUAAGUAAAAUAUUUUAAAUAAUUGAAUGGAAAAGGAUAACUACCAAGUUUACCUCUUGGCAAGGCGUUCGAUGUUUUUAAGUCCUCCGAACGGGACUCUCCGUUUUCUCAGUCGUCCUGGGAUUCGUUGGAUGGCAUAGUUGGUGGUUCCGGCGGCGCCUCCUCUCCAUGUAUAACUAUCUUCUCUCUCCACACCUGACUCGGUGCUAUGGUCUCCUUAGGAUAGUUCUGUUCAAGCUGUAUGUCUUCAGACCUUACCACUUCUUCGUAGUCUGCCCAUCCGUCCUUGAUGAUUUGCCUCCUAUGGUUGCGGUUGCGUCGUCUUCUUCUUGUACUGACCUGCUUAGAUUCUUCAACUAUAUAGUUAGGGUUAGUAAAAUAGCGGCAUACUUCUCAGAGGGAAAGUGCAUGUGGACUUCUCCGGUUCCAAUGUAGAUGAUUGCUUCAACGGUGCUGAGGAACGGUCUCCCAAGGAUGAUGGGUGGAUCGUACUCGUCUUCUCCUAUGUCAAUAACCUGAAAGUCUGUAUGGAAAAAAUGAUCAUCUAUUUUAACAGGGACAUCAGUUACUAUACCUUCCACCUUUUGAAAUGUCUGAUCUGCCAUCUGGAGCUGAAUGUAUAUCGGUUUUAGAGGCACGGUUCCGAACAGGAGCUGAUAGGUGACUGCAGCCAUUAUGUUGACACCUGAUCCAGUGUCGCAAAGUGUCUUGUAGAAGUUGUACCCAUUGAUGGAGCAAUGGAUGCUUGGCAUACCUGGGUCAUCCUUCUUGGUCAGGAAUGGUGACUUAAGUCGACGAUCUUGACCUCCUUGAACUGCAGUAACCAUCUUAGCUGACUCGUUCCACACUUGCUUGUUCCUGUUCCUCCUGUUGGUCCUCUUCCUUGGUUCUUGUUGGGAUUGCUCUGGGAUUUGUGUAGUCUUGUUCUUGAAGGAAAACGUCUCCUUCCUUCCUUUGAUGUAGGAACUGAUCUUGGCAGCACUAGCAUAGAUGACAGCUCCCGAGGUGUUUAGGAAUAGCCUCCCUAAGAUGACGGGUGCUCUCUCAUCAUUACCGGUCUCUAUCACCUUGAAGUCUGCUGGGGCGUACAAGGUACCAACUCGGACGUAGAGGUUCUUCAGUAUUCCCUUCGGAAAACUUAACGUCCGAUCUGCAAGCUGCAGACACAUGGUUGUUUCUAGUAAAGGAUAUGUAAAGAAUUUUUCAUAGAGUACCCUGGGCAUAAUGUUGACACUAGAGCUAAAGUCGCAGAGUGCUUCUAGGAAGUCCACCAUGUCGAUGGAGAUGGGGAUGACGGGGCGUCCUGGAUCGCCUCUCUUGACCGGCAGAAGGUUAGUAGUUACUUCUGCAGCGGGGUUACUCCAGUAGUUACCUGUAUCAAACAUGUCUACAAGAUUUGCAGAUUCUAAUCCUUCCGGUUGUGAUGGUAUACCGGGGUUAGUAGCAGGAAUAGCAGCAGCUAGUUGAUUUAACUGAGAUUUAAUUAUUUUAUUAAAGCUAAUUUGAUUCUUGAUGGUAGUAGAGAAAUUAUCCAUUCUAUUAUUUAUAUUUUCUAGCAUUUUAUCAUUAGAUGCCAAUUUCUUAGAUAGGUUAUCCAUUAGCUUUCCUUGAUUAGACACUAACUCUCUCACAGGUGGAAAAUUAUUAUUAUUAUUGUAAGAAUUGUUACCUUGAUAAUUACCUGAGUAGUUAGGCCUCUUUUGAUUCCAACCUUGAUUUUGUUGAGGACAGUUGUAGUAGUAGUUGUUGUUGUUAUU
RNAcentral lists this long non-coding RNA (80481 nucleotides) under Sorghum bicolor (sorghum). RNAcentral's name for it is "long non-coding RNA (SBIC_LNC002796)". The record is from RNAcentral. Lineage: Eukaryota; Viridiplantae; Streptophyta; Magnoliopsida; Poales; Poaceae.